AAAAAAAAAAUCUUAGCUAAGGGGAGGGGUGAUAGAUUUCCCUCAUCUUGAAUAAUCAAACAUGUGGCAUAGAAUAGCCAUAUGCAUGCACAAGUUGGAAAGCAUCAGCAUCUAGAAUCUUGCUCUCAGUGGUCGCCGCUUUUCUCAAAUUUUACUGGCCCUUUUGGUUUUGGAGACCACGUGGGGACGGAUGAGGGCCGAUGCGCGGCAACAACCACAAGUCACAGUCACACUCACGUUUUGCACUCUCAACAGUUGCAGUUGCAGGUCGAUGGUCUUCUUCGCCAACCACGUGUACCACAAUUAAUGUUGACGAUGCAUGGCACGUGCCAGUUUCAUUUUUCAGACCUGGUUCCUUGUACGGUUGGUGUAUUGACUGCAAACUUGUGCGGCAGUCAAAAGAAAGUGCAGGUGCUAGAAAAGCAGGGUUGGAGAUGAAUCGGAUAGCUGCACGAAUUUGACUGACGGAACCACGCAACAUAUCUGCACUUAUAAAAAUAUUCUCCUAAAAAUAAUGAAAAUAUUGUUUUCCCUCUCGAAAAAGUAAUCAAAAGCUCAUUUCCUGAGGAGACAAAAUGAUCCCAAAUAUAAUCAAAUACUAUAUAAAAACAUUAAUAUUUAUGAUGCCUAAUAAUAAAUAUAUAUUACUUGAUUAAUUAUGGAAUAAUUUUGUUAAUAAACCUAAUUAAAGAUAGAAAUGCUUAUACUAUUGCUAUAUAGAAUUAAUUAGUUAACCUUGAGAUUAUUUGAUUCCUCAUAUUUCCAUUCUUUUUUAGGCUAGUCUGAACGAGAGUUUCAUUUGCAUUUAAGGUUAGUCUCAAUGCAUAGUUUUAUGGCACAGUUACCAAGAUUAUAAACUAGGUAACCGAGCCACAUGAGUUUUAUGGGGAUGCAACUCCUCUCUAAUCUGAUGAAACUCCUUCAUUUAAUGACCCUAUCAAGUCAGCAAUUUUGUUUAUGUGGCACCCUAUUUAAUGUACAUGACACUCUCAUGAAACAUGUAUUGAGACUGGCCUAAUAAUCUGCCACAAAUGCAUUUCUUACCAGUGGCGGACCCAGGAUUUGGUUAAGACUAGGGCCAAAUCCUAGUAGCGAAAAGUCAAAAACUACGCCGUCGUCUAUAUAAUCUAUGUAUAAAAAUUGUUAUUACAAAGAAAAUUUUUUUAGAUCAGAAGUUCUCCAACUACAUAUUGCCAUACAAUUUCUAAGAAAACAACAUUGAACUAUAAAAAUAAAUACUUAGCAAUGAUAAGAAUAUAACAUUGAACUACAAAAAUAAAUACCUAGCAAUGAUAUGCUACAUUCGCAUUUUUCAUGUCCUUUUCAGUAUCGCCUAAAUCUAGACACAAGAUGUGAGCGUUGGUUGAUCUUCUCCCGCUCCUUCCUCUCAGUGAUGAUGUUGUCUUGCCUACUCGCCCGACUAUGGUGCAGUGAAGCGCUGGCGGGCAACGAGCACCAGUUACGAGCGGCGGCGCGAGCAAGCAAAGCAUCGAAGCGAGAGGGCGAGACAACAAGAGAAUAGGCGUCGAUUCCUAAUCUCUCUGGGCUGGUUGGCAUUAAAGCUAUUGGGCUAAGGCCUUGUUUAGUUGGAGAAAUUUUUUGGCUUUGGCUACUGUAGCACUUUCGUUUGUAUUUGAUAAUUAUUAUCUAAUUUUAUAGACUAAUUAGUCUCAAAAGAAUUAUCAUGUAAAUUAUAGGCAAAUGGUGUAGUUAGUUAUUUUUUAUAUCUAUAUUUAAUGUUUCAUGUAUGUGUCUAAAGAUUCGAUAUGACAAGAAAUUUUAAUUUUUUUUUGAAAUUAAACAAGGCCUAAACUUUAAUAAAUUAAUAAAACAAUGGUCUAGAAAUUAAAGAGUUGUACCUAGAAUACCUAGUUUACGACUAGGGCCAAGGCCUUAGUGGCCCUAGGCCUGAGUCCGCCAAUGUAUUCUUACAACAUGAUAAUGUUUUAAUGAAGAUAGAGAAAAAAAAUAAGUUCUAUGGAGAUAUAGCUCUCUUGACACGAUUACCAACUCUCUAUGUGAAGCGCCCCUGGUAAAACAGGAACUCAAAUGUGAUACAAUACUAGUCCCAGGAGGCUAGUAACACAUUUAUUACAUCAGAUAAGUUUCAGCGCAGUAGUCUCGGUAAGCGUGGACAAGGAAGGCACGCUAUAAUAAUAAGACACCAAAAUACAACAUAGGUUCAAAGGACCCAGAAACAAACGAUUUCACAAUCGAACAUCUGACGAGUCCCAAUGCCACAGGCUUAGUUGGGUGUAGACACGACCUUACUCGAACGCCACUUCGGGAUCGAAGUCCGGAUCUUCCUCUGUUUAAUAAAGCAAGGGUGAGUACAAAGUACUCAGCAAAUCCAACUGUCGACGAAAGCUAGUCGGCAGUCUACCUUGGGGUAUACCCACGGUAGUAGUUUAUCGGUAGACGGUGCGCAAACUACGAACUCGAUGGUGACGCAAGACACGGACAAGCUUUUUAUCCAGGUUCGGCCGCCGAGUUGGCGUAAUACCUACGUCCUGCGUCUGGUUGUAUUGAUUUGUGCUGAGAGAAUAUGAUGUCCUAGGGGGUCCCUUGCCCCUCCUUAUAUAGUCUGGAGGGCAGGGUUACAGAUCUAAAAACUAAUCCUAGUCGGUUACAAUUGCCAUAGAUAAUUCGAUAUCAAUUCCCAUUCUAACCGACUAGAAUCCUGCUUGAUCUCCACGUCUUGUUUCCUUGCGCGAAACUCGGCUUGUCGGAUCAAGCCUUGAACUCGUCUCGUAGUGGGCCAAGCUUCCUGGCUGAAGUCUAACCGUAAGGGUAUAGGGGUUUAUACCCCCACAGCUAGUCCCCGAGCGCCAUGUAUUGUGAUGCAACACGCCGUCUUGAGCUUCUUCGAUCAGCGAGGCUUGUCGUCUUCAAUAAGCGGGGAAAUCGCCCAAGCAGUUGCAACGGUUCCUUGUCCAACUCGAAAGACAGUUGAUCAACGUUGACAUCAAAGAAGCAGGUUGUUCGAAGAAUGCAUGGUGCUCUAAAAAAAAUUUCUUUCCUGGUGAAGUGUGCCCACUUUGCCUUUUUGAAAGGUAGAAGCAUCAAAAAAGCAAGCAAAUUCACCGCUAGGUGAAGUGUGCCCACUUAGUCCCCGAGCCUGGUAGUAGGUGGCGUAGGCACGUGGUGCCAGGGUCAAAAGAAAAUUCCCCAAAGUAGUUUUGAGACUGAGAUGCAUCGCUAGAUGCAUCGUACCGAUGUAGUCCCCGAGCUUGCUGGAAGGCGAAGUAUGAGCCUUGUAGCAAGGUCUAAAAAAUUGAAUUUACCAGUCCCCGAGCAUGUCAUGCUCGUCUGCAAUCGAAAAGACCAAUCGACCAGUCCCCAGGCACUUAGUGUGCUGCUUGGAAUUAUAUGUUACUAUACUGUACGACCAGUCCCCGAGCAUCGAGUGCUCAGUUUCCUAAGCAUGCUUUAAAGCUUUGAGCUGAUAGACUGAGCGACCAGUCCCCGAGCGUCGAGUGCUCGGUGGUCGGUGCAGUCCUUGAAGUUCUGAGUUGAUAGACUGGGCAACCAGUCCCCGAGCGUCGAGUGCUCGGUGGUCGGUGCAGUCCUUGAAGUUCCGAACUGAUAGACUAGGCAACCAGUCCCCGAGCGUCGAGUGCUCGGUGGUCGGCGCAGUCCUUGAAGUUCCGAACUGAUAGACUAGGCAACCAGUCCCCGAGCGUCGAGUGCUCGGUGGUCGGCGCAGUCCUUGAAGUUCCGAGCUGAUAGACUGGGCGACCAGUCCCCGAGCGUCGAGUGCUCGGUGGUCGGUGCAGUCCCCGGAUUGCUGACUUACUGGCGUAUGUGUCUUCUUACUUUUGAAAAGAUCUUUCCAAUUAAAGUUGACGUGACGGGGUCUCCUGACGAUAUGUCAGACGGAUGCAUGAAAAGCUGCACCUAGCAACUGUACAACCGCUCUUUGCGUGGUUUGAGAAAAGGAAACCAUCAAUUGGUACGAAAACUCCGCCGCAUUAAUUGUCUAUAAUCAUUGUAAACCGAAACGCCGCGUCCGCCGCAUGGCCUGCCUACUUCCCGAGAAUACAGGAAGUGGGAGAGGUGGGGUCGCGGGUUUAUAAGGGCCUAAUAGGACCGCCUGUACCGCUUCUCCUGCUAUUGCCUUCAAACAUUCCGCUCUCAUCUUCUCCAAUCUCCUGCAUCUUCCUAACUCCAGCCCACAUUCGCACCUCUAAUGGCGAAGAGCGACUCCAGGAAGAGGGCCGAACUGAUGGCCAAGGAGUGGAAGAAGUCUCGCAGCACCGCAAAAUCUCUUGGUGACCUCGUCGAUAUGGGGCUUCUGCACGGCGCAGAGCUCGGCGGCUGGAGGGCGCCGGAGGGGGAGAGCUACCCCGACCCUCGCGCCGGUGAGAUCGUCGUUUUUGAGGAUUUCGUUAAGAGAGGCUUUGGUGUUCCUGUUCAUCCUUUUCUUCAAGGUCUUCUUUUGUACUAUGAGGCCUAUGUUGGCAUAGAGCCGCACUUCGAUCUGCACCCGAACUCAAUUCUCCUUAUUUCCACCUUCAUCCAUCUGUGCGAGGCCUAUGUUGGCAUAGAGCCGCACUUCGAUCUUUUCCGGUACCUUUUCUGCUUGAGGAAGAAGGGAGCAGUUGGAGGCUCCAAGGUUGCAGGUGGAGUAUACCUCAACCUUCGUGAUGGGAUGAAUAAUCGCUACCUGCACUGCCCAUGGAACACUUCCUUGACCGAAUGGUACAGGAAGUGGUUCUACGUCAGGGAGGAACCGGGCAGCUCCACGUUCUGCGACGUGGGGUACAUUCCCGAGAAGAGGUCGAGCUGGACCGACCGCCCAGAGUUCGACGGUCAAGUGGCGGAUCUGAUGAAGCUGAUCGACUGGUCGCGCCUGGAUGGGCUUGGCGUGGUCGGCAACUUCAUUUGCCGCCGGGUGAUGCCCUGCCAGAAGAGGGUGCACUCGGCGUACGAGUAUGCCGGAAGCGCAGACCCGACCAGGAUGCGGUCGGAGAUCUUGGAGAAAGCGGAGGUACAACAGCUGUUGAACGAGCUGUUUAACUUCGCAGAUGGGGGCUUCAUCCGUGGCAGUGAUCGGGUGCAAGCCUUCAAGUUAGGACGACCAGCACCAAAGGUAUGUAGCAGAGUCUGUUUGAUCAUUCGUAUAUCGUCUGCAGUUAACUCAUCUCUGUUGCUUUUGCAGGUCGGUGAUGUCGACCGGUGCGCAGUGUAUGUAUCACUGGCACCGGGAAUGGAAGAUCCUGUGGGAGAGGUCCCGCCGGAGGAGGACGCUGCUCGGUGUACUCAUUACACCAUCAGUGAGGAAGACCGAGCCCGCCCCGUCCCGACCUCCGAGGAGAGGGUAGCGGGGAAAAGGCCAUUGCCGGCGGAUCCCUUGCCGACACCGGAGCUGCCGGCAGACCUACCGGCGGAGAGCAGCCAAGCGCCGAAGCGUCGUCGGCUCGUGCGGAUCGUCGACGACGACGACGACGACGAGGAGGCUGCGCCGUCGUUGGUCCGACGGCCUCGGAACCGCCCAGACACUGCGCCGGUCGCCACUGAUCGAGUGGCCAGCGGCGCCGCUGCCCCGCAAGUUGCCGAGGUGGGGGCACAGGCGCCGACCGGCCGGGCGAGGAGGAGGUUUACCGCGACCCAUCGUCGGUCAGACCUGUAAGUGUUCGACUUACGUAUUUUGGACUCCUCUCUUUUUUUUUUAACUUUUGUUCCUGUAGUGCGGCAUCGGAUGUCGACCCUGGCCAAACUGCCGGCCAGGGAACAGGCGAGCCUGCCCGCGGUUCUGGGGAUGCGGCCCCCCAGACCACAGAGCAGGCAACAGCUGCGGUCGCGCCUGGGAGCACCGAGGGGCUCCCGAGCGCGGCGCCGACUACAACAAGCAGCCCGACCAGGGCUGGAGAGGCUCCCCCAACUGACUCCUCGGAGAAGGGAAGAUCUCCGACCGCUCCUCCUGCCGGGGGGAGUGAAGUCCCCCCGCCGCCCCGAGCAGGAGCCUCUCCGGCUGCGGGCUCCCCAGGUCUGGUCCAAGGGCCAGUGAUGCCUGGGACCACCACCGGGGGUGACGCAGCCCAGGAGGAGGAAACCAGGGCGGCCUCCGACGACGAGGUGGAAGAGAUCGAGGGUCGUCCCCGUGAUGGCCGCCAACACGUGUAUGUGUGGCGCCAACGCGGGGAUCACUUUAUCGGUCAUGAGGAGCUUGCCGAGUCCGAAGAGGCCGCCAGGGUGGAGCGCGCGGCCAAGCGCCUUGUCGACGAAGUCAAGGUAAGCGGCCUUUUGUGCUGCUGCACAUUCUUUUGCCUUGUCUUGCUUGAUCGUUAUAUGCUUUCUUUGUAGGACGUAAUGAAAACGGCAAAGUACCGGAAACGGUGCUUUGACCAGAUAGAAAGCGUCAUGGCCGAGAACAAGGCCCUUGCCGCGGAGGUAGACCGGUUGCGGGCGGAGGUCGGGGAGAAGGUGGUCGAGAUGAGCGCCGAAAAGGAGCGUCGUCUCGACCUCGCUCGUCGUCUGGCCGACCAGUACCGGCUGCAGGAAGGUUAGUCACACGCUCCGAGCAGUUUCGCAUACUUGUAUAGUUUGCUUUGCUGACCAGUUUAGGAUUCACGCAGACUUGGAGGAGGAGGUGGCGAGCCUCCAACAAGAGAAGGAGCAGCUCGGCCAACAGCUCGCCAGUGCACAGGAGUCCGAGCGGCGAGCGGAAGAGGAAUUGGGUCGAAAAGACCGGAAGUUAGCUGGUAAUGGGUGCCGCCUUGUUGGUUGCUGCCUGCCCCUUUGCUUGUCUGGUAUGCCGAAAGUAACGUUUCGUUUCGUUUGCAGUGCUCAAGGUGAACACCAAAAAGCACCUGGACGACCUGAUCAAGGACCGGGACUCCUGGAAGGUCAACUGUUGCAGGAUCUGGAAGGGAGUGUCCCCGGUCCUGGACCUGAUCAGUCCCGAGCUCCCGGAGAGCCAGCCCCGCGUGCCGCAGUUGACCCCGGUCGAGAAGGCGCAACGGGCGUGGGACUGGCUCCAGCAGUUUGUGAAGGACGCCGGGGAGUUUGCCGGCGCGCACGUCCUCAGCAUGGUACGCGCCCACUACCCCCUGGUCGACUUGAGCAGGCUGGAGAAGGGGUACCCGAAGGAAGUCGGCCCAUAGGAAGCGGACGAACUUCGGGGUAGUCUGCUGGACUUGUCGUCGACAGUGAUCGGCGACAUCAACCUGUGCGGAACGGCCACUCCUCCAGACCAGCCGAGCUCAGAUAGGUCGGCCAGGGAGUUGUCGGGCGCGUCCGUUGCUGGAGAUGGGCGGUCGACGCCUGCGGUCUCGACCAGCCAGGCGCCGGUGGCCCCGACCCCUUCGUCCGGGCAGCAGGGCCAGGCGGGUGAUCAGCCCGAGCAGCUAGGCCAAUAAAGUAGUCUGUAGGAAUAGACUAGUAUCUGCCCGUCAGGAUAUUUAUUGUAAACUUUGUAUGUAAAGUUUGUAAUAAAGUUUUCUUUUUUGUCAUGACUGUUGUUUUGAGCGCUGUAAAAAUAUCUGAGUGACGUGUCACCGUAUUUGUCUUGGUUGUCGCCAAGAGCAUCCAUUGCAGGAGUUUUGCCGAGUGCUGUGUAUGACAAGGUAUAGGCGAAAAAUAGAGAAUCUUAUUAUCAAAAAUUAUAAGAUACUUACAAAAGAAAGUCAUUAAAACUUUAUGGAUAGAAACGUCGCAGUUUGUCGAUGUGCCAAGAGUUAGGCACUCGUGUUCCGUCUGGGUAUGCCAAUCUGUAGGACGUAGGUCGUGUGACCUCGGUCACGACGAAGGGUCCUUCCCAGGGAGUGGAUAACUUGUGCAUUCCCUCCUGGCUUGUUUUCCAUCGAAGCACCAGAUCGCCGACCACGAAGGAACGGUCCUUGACGUUCCUGUUGUAGUAUCGCCUGACUGCCGCGAGAUAUUUUGCUGUUCGGAGACAUGAAACUAAACGCUUUUCCUCCAUGCAAUUGAUUUCGAGUUCUCUGGCGUUGUCGGCGGUCGCCUGGUCGAAGUGCUCGAUUCUGGGAGAUCCGAAGUGUAUGUCGGACGGCAAGACCGCCUCUGCGCCGUACACCAUGAAGUAGGGAGACACCCCUGUGUUUCGACUGGUCUGAGUUCGGAGGCCCCAGACCACUGCCGGCAAUUCUUUCAUCCAUCGACCGGGUGCUCUGUCGUUCUCGGUGUACAACCUUUUCUUUAGGGCGUCGACGAUCAUUCCGUUAGCACGUUCAACUUGACCGUUGGCACGUGGAUGUGCCACUGACACAUAUUUUAUGACUAUGCCUUUGUCAUCGCAGAAAUCCCAAAAAGUGGUGCCAGUAAACUGAGUGCCCAGGUCGGUGAUUAUGCUGUUCGGGAUGCCGAAUCUGUGUAUGAUUUGAUUGAGGAACUCCACAGCCUUCUCGGAGGUUGCCUUGACCAGGGGCAUGUAUUCAAUCCACUUGGAGAACUUGUCGAUUAACACGAAGACAAACUUGAAGUUGCCCGGGGCUGGUUUAAAUGGUCCGAUCAUGUCAAGCCCCCAGCAAGCAAAGGGCCAAGACGACGGGAUGGUUUGAAUUUCAUGGGCAGGUACGUGGGUCCUCUUAGCGAAAAACUGACAUCCUUCGCAAUGCCGAACCAGUUUUUCUGCGUCGCUGACCGCGGUUGGCCAAUAAAAACCUGCUCGGAAAGCCUUUCCGACCAGCGUUCUAGAUGCGGCGUGGUUGCCGCAGGAUCCGGCGUGUAUGUCCUCCAAGAGCUUGAUACCAUCGUCUUGGGGUAUGCACUUGAGCAGUACCUCGGAGCUUGCGUUUUUCCGCAUGAGUUUUCCGUCAACCAGGAUGUAGUUCUUUGAUCGUCGGAUGAGACGCUCGUUCUCUGUUUUGUCUUGAAAACCUGUCCCGUCUGAGAUGUAUUUGAUGAACGGGAUACGCCAGUCACGCCCACCGGUUGUCGGAGUGGCGUCAUCUAUGAGCAUUGCCUCGGUGGGUUGCUUGUCGACCAGGGGGGAGCUUACGCUCGGCUCAUGGAUGUCCUGGACGAAAAUACCCCGCGGGAUUUGGGCCCGAGACGAGCCUAACUUUGACAACGCAUCUGCUGCUUGGUUCUUAUCCCGGACCACGUGGAUGUACUCUAUGCCAUAGAAGUUAGUUUCCCAUCUGCGGAUUUCUUUGCAGUAGAGAUCCAUCUUCUCGUGGGUUGCGUCCCACUCCUUGUUGAGCUGGUUGAUGACCAAAGCGGAGUCGCCGUAGACAUAGAGGCGCUUGACCCCCAGUUCGACGGCUAGUCGUACGCCAUGUAAGCAAGCUUCGUAUUCGGCGACAUUGUUUGACGCCGGAAAAAGGAUCCGAAGGACGUAGCGGAGUUUGUCCUUGUUUGGUGAUACGAACAAUAUCCCAGCGCCUGCACCGUUGAUGUUCAAGGACCCAUCAAAGAACAUUGACCAGUGGUCUGAGACAUCUGGAACGGAAGGCUCGUUGAGAUCCGUCCAUUCGGCAAUGAAAUCGACCAGGGCUUGAGACUUGACAGUGGUGCGACUCUGGAACUCUAGGGAAAAUGGACAUAAUUCCAUUGCCCAUUUCACGAUUCUGCCAUUGGCGUCUUUAUUGCGCAGGAUGUCCCCGAGAGGAAAGCUGGUUGUCACCAGGACUCGAUGGCCGUCGAAGUAGUGCUUCAGCUUUCUUGACGUUAUCAGGAUGGCGUAUAUAAGCUUCUGUAUUUGUGGGUACCUGGCCUUGGAUUCGUUUAAAACUUCACUUAUGAAGUAAACGGGUCUCUGGACCUUGAAGACGUGACCUGGUUUAUCUCGCUCGACCACUAUUGCCGUGGAAACAACCCUGUCGGUUGCAGCAAUGUAAAGGAGCAGGUCUUCAUUGGGCUGAGGCGCUGUGAGGACAGGCGGUGAAGUGAGGAAGGUCUUAAGCUGAGUGAACGCAGCGUCGGCUUCUUCUGUCCAGGAGAAUUUUUCUGAUGCUUUCAAUAGUUUGAAGAAAGGGAGGCCUUUUUCUCCCAGCCUUGAGAUGAAACGACUGAGGGCGGCCAUGCAUCCGGUUAGCUUCUGAAUAUCCUUGACGUUAUUCGGUGGUCGCAUGUCGAGUACGGCUUUGACUUUUGAAGGGUUUGGUCGUAUGCCGUCGCAACUGACGACAUUGCCGAGCAGUAGACCGGAAGGAACGCCGAAAAUGCAUUUCUUGGGGUUGAGCUUCCACUUGUACCUAUUGAGUGCCUUGAAGGUUCGUUCUAAGUUGUCGAUUAGGGUGCUCGCGUCCCUUGUUUUUACGACCACGUCGUCCACGUAGGCCUCGACGAGGUCAUCGCGAAUCUCGUCGUGGAGGCAUUGCUGGAUGGCCCUUUGAUAAGUGGCCCCGGCGUUUUUAAGUCCGAAAGACAUGGUAGUGUAACAGUAUGCGCCGAAGGGCGUGAUGAAGGAUGUUUUGAUCUGGUCUUCUUCCUUUAACGAGAUCUGGUGAUAACCAGAGUAGCAAUCUAGAAAGGAGAGGAGUUCGCAUCCGACCGUUGAGUCGACCACCUCGUCGAUGCGAGGAAGACCAAAAGGAUCUUUAGGACAGUGUUUGUUGAGAUCGGUGUAAUCAACGCACAUUCUCCAUUCAUUAUUCUUUUUGCGUACAAGAACCGGAUUGGCGAGCCAAUCGGGAUGAUACACCUCUUUUAUGAAUCCGGCUGCUAGAAGCCGUGUUAUUUCUGUCCUAAUAGCCUCCUUUUUGUCACGAGCAAACCGUCGCAGUUUUUGCUUGAUUGGUCUUGCGGUCUUCGAGACGUUUAAGGAGUGCUCGAUCAGGUUUCGUGGGACACCGGGCAUGUCUGCGGGUUUCCAUGCGAAAACGCUCACGUUGUCCCUUAGAAACCUGACGAGCGCGUCUUCCUAUUUUGGAUCCAGGUUAGCCCCGAUGAGGGCUGUCUUCUCGGGGUUGCCUUCGACCAGCUGCACUUCUUUGUACUCCUUGGAUUUCGAAUUCUUUCUGGCUGUCUCCUGCUCAGGUAAUCGGAGCUGGUCGGGGGGCAGUUGUGCGGCUUGGUUUGCUGUUUCCGCCGUGCGGAUUGAGAGGUCAAUUGCCUCGGUGAUCUUGAAACUUUCUUCUUCGCAGGUGUACGCAGUGUAGACGUUGCCUCUGACGGUCAGGACACCCUUCUCCGUGGGCAUCUUAAGCACUAGGUAUGAGUAGUGCGGGACUGCCAUGAACUUUGUCAGCGAUGGGCGGCCCAGUAUGGCGUGGUAGGUCCCGUCGAAGUCCGCGACUACGAAGUUGAUGAACUCCGUCCGGAAGUGAUCGGGUGUGCCGAAUUGGACAGGCAAUGUUAUCUGUCCGAGGGGGACCGAACUUUGACCUGGCAAAACCCCCCAGAAUUGGGCGUCGUAAGGUUUUAGUUGCGCCGGUGAUAUCUUGAGGGCGGGCAGGCUGUUGCGGAAGAGGAUGUCGAUGGAGCUUCCCCCGUCCACGAGCACGCGCUCGAAUCUAAUGCUAUUGAUGCAGGGAUCAAGAAUUAGUGGGAAACGACCCGGCUCUGGGAUAGCGGCCCACUGGUCCUUCCUGCUGAACGCGAUCUCCCUGUGGGACCAGGCGGGAAAUUUCGGAUCUGCGAUCAGCCCGUCCGUGCUGUCUAUGUUGAGGCAGGCUCUCUUUAACAGCUUUCUUUCUCGCUUGGACUCAGUGGAGACUUUGCCCCCGAAAAUGGAGUGGACCACGUCGGUGGGGCUGACGUAUUGGUGUCGGGGGUCCCUGUCUUGGUCCUCAUCCUCAUCUUCGUGGUCGUGCCCGUCGCGUUUGUUGCUUUUCUUGGCGGUGUCUUCUUGGGCGGCCCGCCGUGUAUAGAUAUUUUUGAGGACGCGACACUCUUCCAUGGUAUGGUUAGACUUUGGGUGUAGCUGGCACGGUCCCUUCAACGUUUUGUUGUAGUCGUCUUGGUAGUCCCGUCGUCCGUUGGGACGUUUGACCGUGUUUACUUCGUGGUCGUAUUCGCGAGGGCGCUUUCCUCUGAAGUCGUCGCGGCUGUCGCGCCGCCGAUCCCAACCCUCUCGGUGAUCGCGGUUGUCGGAGCGGCGGUGAUUUCUGUUGUCGUAGCGACCACGACCGUCAUCUCGACGGGAGGGCUGGUCGGUGCCUCUCGCAUCGUCUCGGAUUAGUUUUUCUGCGUCAUCAGCAUCGGCAUAAUUUUUAGCCGUGGCGAGGAGCUCUGCUACCGUUGAUGGGCGCUUACGCAGCAGCUUGUUCCUCAGCGCUUCAUGGAAACGCAAGCCCUUGAUAAAGGCUGAUAUGGCCUCGUCAUGAGAAAUCUUCGGGAUUUUGAGGCGCAUAUCCGAGAAUCGUCGGAUGUAAUCGCGCAGAGGUUCAUUCUUCCUGUCUCUUAUCCUUUCAAGGUCAUACUUGUUUCCGGGCUGCUCGCAUGUGGCGAUGAAGUUGUCGAUGAAAGCCUGUCGUAGCUCUUCCCAAGAGUCGAAGGAGUCCUCGGGCAAGCCGAGAAGCCACUGAUGACCAGCCUGGUCGAGGACUACGGGGAAGUAGUUAGCCAUGACGUGCUCAUCUCCUGCCGCUGAUCGGACGGCGAUUUCGUAGAGGGUGAUCCAGUUCUCUGGAUUUUCCUUGCCGUCGUAUUUUUUAAGUUUUUCGAGCUUGAAAUUGCGGGGCCACACGACCUGGCGGAGGUGUGAGGAGAACUGCCUUAGGCCCGGAGGACCAUGGGUCGCAUCAUACUCGAUGCGGCGCAGGUUUUCGUGGACUGCUCUCUCUGCGGUGCGCCUGUUGAUGCGGUCCCGGGCAUCUUUGGGAGGGAUGUUGUGGCGGAGAUCCCCGUGUUGAUCUUCUUCUUCUUGGCCGCGUACGCGGUUCUGCUGGCGGCGGCCAUCGGCAUCCCGACCACCAUCGUCGCGCCGUGAGUCCCCUCGACGGUUGUCGGGGGAGCGGCUGCGGCGACGCCUGCUGGGUGAGGCCCGGCUACGAUGAGUCUGGUCGGAGGCGGCUCCCGUAUAAGAGACGUCCUGGACUCUCUUGAGCAGAGUGGCUGUCUGUCCCAUUGCGGCGAUCAGGUGUGCUCGGAUACUGGUCCGGACUCCCUGGCAUUCGGGGGUGUCACGAAGCCGAUCCAGGUUGGCCAUGGCGACAGCCACGUUGGCGCUUGGCGUUUUGUAGACCGGCUGGUCCCCGACCAUGUCAAAGGCAUCGUUGAGGUUACCUGGUGGCGUAUGUUGUUGCUCGUCCGCACGCCGUCGGGCGCGCUCGGCGUUACGCUGUUCGCGGAGUUGCCUCUGGUCGUCUGUUUCUCCGUCAACAGCCGGUUCGUCGGCGCUGACAUUGAAUACAAUAUCCCCUCGCCGGGGGGGGAAUAUCGGGAAUCGGUCGAAACCCGGAGGGUGUGAAGGAAAAUCCAGGUCGUAGUCCUCGUCUUCGGUGUUCACAACCUCGGUGGGGACGGAGCCGGUGCUUGAGUUGGUGCUGGAAACCUGGUCGUCCCGUAGCUCUCGUAUGGUCACCAUGUUAACAUGGUGACGAUUGUUCCUUGUCGGCGACCAGCCCGCUUUGCUGAAAACGGAUUGGACAUGCUGUGAGUAAACAGAGGCCGAGUUGUUCAGGCCGCAAGGAUAGUCUUCCUUUUUGAGCUCGACGGAUCGUCCUGAGGGGGUUGAGGUUAUCGUCAGGGACGUUCCCAACCGUUCGUGUGUGGCGACACGAGUUGGCCGGCGGAAUUUCGAAAAAUCCGCUCGAGCAGCUUGGUCGGGCCGGCGCAGAACUCCAUCUAUUAGUUGGGAGACUUCGAGUAGCUUGGAGUCAGCGCGAUCGAGCGCUUGGAGGAGGUCCGAGCAGUCGAUCUCCUUUCCCUUGUAGAGCGGGAACGGUGGUCGGGAGCUUGGUGCCGUCAUGCGUGUGGUCGGAGACGGCGUGAUCUCAGAUUGGAUCUGGAUCUCUUUCGGAACCGUGGUCGCGAAACCGCCGCUGCACGUCGUCCACGUGAUCUGGCCGACGGUGAACGUGAGGCCUUCGGGCACGGUCGCGGAAGCUGGGAUCGUGACCAUCUUGUUCGCCGGAAGAGUUGCACGCACACCCCCUACCUGGCGCGCCACUGUCGACGAAAGCUAGUCGGCAGUCUACCUUGGGGUAUACCCACGGUAGUAGUUUAUCGGUAGACGGUGCGCAAACUACGAACUCGAUGGUGACGCAAGACACGGACAAGCUUUUUAUCCAGGUUCGGCCGCCGAGUUGGCGUAAUACCUACGUCCUGCGUCUGGUUGUAUUGAUUUGUGCUGAGAGAAUAUGAUGUCCUAGGGGGGUCCCUUGCCCCUCCUUAUAUAGUCUGGAGGGCAGGGUUACAGAUCUAAAAACUAAUCCUAGUCGGUUACAAUUGCCAUAGAUAAUUCGAUAUCAAUUCCCAUUCUAACCGACUAGAAUCCUGCUUGAUCUCCACGUCUUGUUUCCUUGCGCGAAACUCGGCUUGUCGGAUCAAGCCUUGAACUCGUCUCGUAGUGGGCCAAGCUUCCUGGCUGAAGUCUAACCGUAAGGGUAUAGGGGUUUAUACCCCCACACCAACCUUACCCUACGGAAGGAGAUAACAAUAUAUAUGCAUAUGGAUAAAUCAAGGAUGAGGCUUAGUUUUAUUUGCAUAAAGCUAUCUUUUUACACAUGCAAGGUUUCAUUUCACAAGUACUGUUGUAAAAGAACUCUUUUUCCACAUAUGAUAGUAUUUCUGAAAAUGGGGGUUUGAUUACAAUUUUAAGUGUUGUUGAACCCUUGUUCCCACAACACAAUGGCAGUCAACCAUUUAUUUCCAAAAUCACACUCACUCACAUGCUUUCACUCAUCCCAACCCAUCUAGUUGUUGAAACCAAACCAUAACCCGUCCGAGACCGCGGACACGGCUAUCCAGAUAGAUUUACACUCUGCAGAGGUUGUACACUUUUUCCACAAGUAGGAUACCAUAACUUACACCGUCGUGCAAGCACAGAUCCAUCAAAGUCAUUACCCUCCAUAGCUAAGUAAUGGCGCUCACCACGGGAACACUAAGGCCACAUCUCAUGAUACCACAAUAAUCCACAAAGCUCUUGUCAUAUAUUUUCACAGUUUCACAUACAUCACUUAGUGUCCCGUUGCACACCUGCCUCCAGGUGAUUGCCAUACUAACUAGAGGGAUUUGGACUAAGCCUUUCCCAUGCAAGGCGAGUGGUUGUACGAUAAAUGAGUUAGACAAGAUGAAUCAUCAACUCAGUCCUUAAUCGAGACAAGGCGGAUAUCUUCUCGCUUAACCCCGCAAGGUAUAAGCCACAACACCAGGGCAUCCCCAAAAGAGAUCCCAUCCGCCCCGUCUCCAUAGUAAUCACAUCUAUAACUUGUUCAUUAACCCUUUUAUAAUACCCACAAUUUAUUUUCACCACUCACACCUUUUACUUUUAAAAUCAUUAUAUUUGAAAAAUAUAGCGAUGAGUAUCCAUGAUGAGUAACAAGUCCUAAGCAUACUAAAUAAUAAUAUUUCUGUCAUAGCAUAUUGUUUGUUCCUAGGUUCGAACAAGACAAUUAUCGGGUAAUAUCAAUUCAAGGAUGGCUAUUCAACAGGUUUUAACUAAGCAGCGAAAAUACUUCGUACAUAUAUCGUACAUGCAAUAUUUAAAAUGGCUUCUACGGGUUGUGUUUAAAAAUAGGAUCAAUAUGCAUCAAAGGGGAUCGGUUGGACUUGCCUCCGUCGGCGUCCUCGGCAAACUCCUGCUGACAGUCCGGGUCCUCGGCGUCAAACUCGCGGUACUCGUCUCCAACGUUCUCGUUUUCCGGCUCGUUCACUCCGUCAACUAAAAUACGCGACGAGCGACACAGACAACAGACACAGAUAAAUAAUCACAUAAAUUCAAAUGGGCUCUAAAAAUCAUGAAAUUAAUAUGGGAGGUAGAUCAUGAUUUUAGAUGAAUUUAGAAAAAAGAAUUAUUGAAAUCAGAGUUAGCAUGUGGCAUUUGUGAAAUGACCGGAAUUUAAUCAUGUGAAAAAGGCUAACGGUGAUUAAGGAAUGGAUGCUUCACGUGGACAUUUGUUUGGCUGGUAGUGCAUGGUGCAUGCAUGUACUAUUUGGAGUUAAUGCUUAUGGCCCACGCAUGCAUGGUUAGAGAGAAAUUAGCAGGAGUCAUUAGAGCUCUUCUGUAUGUCAUGGUUCUAUUCGUGGAGUUCUUGGCAGUGAAUCGGUACAGACAAAUACAAGAAAAAAAUACAGGAAAAUACUACAGAAAAACAGAGAAGAGCAAGGAGAUGCUCAUGAGCUGCUCACCUCGUCUUGCGACGACAGUCGAGCUCGGCUUGUGCGUAUGGCCGUAUACGGUAUACGCGAAGUGAGAGCGAGUGAGCGAGUGAGUGAACGUGUUUCUCGGGUGGUGAGAGUGAGCACCCGCGGCUGGCUUUUUAUAGGCCAAAGCGCUCAGCUGCGUGCCAUUAAAAAUGCUACUGUAGCGCAUGGUCGGUGCCUAAUUUGCAUGCACGAUGCAUGCAAAUGGACGGUGCCUAAUCACCGUGUCCUUGCAUGCAAGUGCAUGCAAAUGGACGGUGCAUGUUGUCCUGCAUGCAUGCAUGAGAUAUACCACGUGUGUGUGCACUGCUAUGUUUUCUUGCAUGUAAGCUUGCUGGUACUCGCUGUUAUUUGUGUGCGAAAAAUAAAUAUGGAUGGAUUAGAUGGAGAUACUAUAGAGCUCAAAUUAUUUUAUAGUUUUUUUGAAAUAUAUUUUAAAAAUAAUUUUUAAUGCGAGUGAUUUUUGAAUGUGAAUUUUUGGGAUGUUACACUAUGAGUCUUAAAAUUAAUUGUCUAUGAAACUCUAGAACAAAACUUGCGUCGAGAGUGUUUUCUCAUCCGAGUUUCAUUUUAUCUCUACUAUAAUUAAAAUCUUCUCCAGGCAAAUCCCACCUAUAAAAUCAACGACUCACAGCACAUGUCAUACAAAUUAGACGGUCCAGAUUAGAAGUAUGAUCACGACCUUACAUCUCUACUCUCCGCCCUACUCUCCGUCCUCAGCCUCGCGCGUCAUCUCCGUAACUCCGUAUCUGUAUCGCAACUCCGUAUCGCAGAAAACCGACCCCAGCCGUGGAGGACCGCGUCGGGCUGGCCUCCAUCGGCGGGGCGGCGAUGGAGGUGGGUGACCUGCAGAAGGUGUGGGAGGUCCGUGCUCUCAAGACCAAGCCCGACGCGGCCGCCGCCCGGGCGACGCUCGACCGCGUCGCCAGGCAGGUCCAGCCAAUCAUGCGCCGCCACGCCGGAGGACGAGGACUCCAGCGACGACGACGACGACGCCGGCGUCGCGCCACGCAGGAGCGGCCGCAAGGACCGUCACAGCGCGGUGCGCAUCGCGUGGGAGAAGCUAGUCCGGUGGUCCCGCUCCUGGCGCCGCCGCAACCGCAGCGACGUCCUCGAGAGCUCGCGCAAGGUAGGACUCUCACGGACUCUCUGGGCUUGGAUUUGGAUGCGCGCUUCCUUGCGGGAUCUGAUUGGGAGAAGUUGAGUGGUGGGUUUCGCAGGUGGUGGUUCUCGGGGGAGGGUCCUUCGGGACGGCCAUGGCGGCUCACGUGGCGGCCAAGAAGGCAGACCUCGAGGUGGCCAUGCUGCUCCGGGAUGACCUCGUCUGCCGGUCCAUCAACAACACACAUAUCAAUUGGUUGGUAACUUCUGCUGCCUGCCUCCUUUCUUGAUCCAUUUGGUAGGAUACUUUAUUAGGUUCUUGUUGCACUCAAAGAUCAUCUUGAACGAAUGGAUACUCAGAUUAUCCAGGAGCAGGGCAGGCUGUUAGACAUAGUGAUAUCAUCCUGUUAUUAUGACCAAUUAGGCAAUGACAAGUUUCAGAUUUGGAAAACUAAUUUUGUGUGCAUUUAGCUGUUACCAACAUCAAUUUGUGCUGCAUUCCAUCCACAUUCCUCAGAGUUCAUAUUUGUACAAGAAAAACGUAGAGGCAAUGUUUCCAAUGCGAAUGAUAAUGUGAAAGGAAACCUCAUCUGGUUUAAAUUGAGUAAUUGACUUGAACUCAUAGUGCAUGAAAAAGUGUAACUUUACCAUUUUAUCUUAAAGUAUCCAUCUCACCAGAGACAUGAUGUGGCAAUUGGCAAGGUCUUUGGAAUGGAGUUUUACUUCUGUUGAAAUUCUUACAAAAAACAAAUGCAAAUCCUAUUAUGUUUCAGGACCACAGUUUGUAUCACUAAAUCGAUUUUAACUCAGUAUUUCGUGACAUGUAAGUUUGAGGUAGCGAAAUCUGUAAAUUUUUUUAUUGUACUUAAGUGAGCUUUGCUGUAUAUUUGUACCUUAUAUUUGGUAACUUUUCUACAUAGCAUUUGUUAAAACCAAAUAUAUGUUCCCAAAUGAAGUACCGUAAUUUUUAUAUAAACUUUUUUUGUUAGUGGGGUAGGUUUGUUUUUUAGUUUUAUGAUUUAUUUUAGUUUUGUAAUUUUUUUCUAAAUGUCACCGUAGCGUUAGCACGGGUAAUAUACUAGUUCUACAUAACAUGAUAGUCUUAGAAACUGACUUCAGUGCCACUGCUCUAAAUUUUUUUUGCCCUCCAUGCCACUGCCGCUGGAUUGUGCUCUAAUGGUGUUAAACGUAGGUGUGAAAAGACAAAAAUAGCCUUAGGUCUAAAUAUAUCAUUAGUGUUUUUGAGCAUCUUAACGACUUCAAAUGAAAAAACUCAAAACUAGAAAGUUGUAGAUCUCGUCAAGAACUACAAUUUUCAUAUAAAAAUUAUUUUCAUUUAAUUUUGCAAAAAAGAUAUGUUUUGAUAUGGUUAAUAUAUAUAUCUUAGGAAAAUCGUAUCUUUAUUGCGAUAUUGAAUGAAGAUAAUUUUUAUACGAAAAUUUUAGAUCUCGAUGAGAUCUACAACUUUUUAGUUUUGAGUUUUUUCCAUUUCAAGUCUUUAAGAUGCUCAAAAAAAUUAACAACAUAUUUACAUCUUAGGGUAUUUUUGACUUUUUACAUCCACGGUUUGACACUGUUAGAGCCUAAUCUAAUUGCAGUGGCUUGGAGGGCAAAAAGAAUUUGAAGCAGUGGCACUGAAGUCCGUUGAACUUUUUCACUGGCUUACAAGGAAUUGUGAUCUUUUACAGUGGCUCAAAAUGAAUUCUCUUUUCGUUCUAUAGUUUGAUAUGUAUUUAAUUUUAUUACUCAUAAAGAGUUGAUACUUGUGCUAAUGAAACUUAUGUUUUUCUCUUCUUUUUUCUUAAAACCGUUAUCACAUCAUCGAAACAGCUUUAUUAACUACAAACAAAACUCUGAUGCCCACUGAGAAUGUGCAUAGAAAAAGGAGACUUCGAGGGCUUGUUUAGGCCUUGUUUACUUCGCAAAAUUUUGGGUUUUUGGCUACUGUAGCACUUUCGUUUUUAUUCGAUAAACAUUGUCCAAUCACAGAGUAACUAGGCUCAAAAGAUUCAUCUCACAAAUUUCAGUUAAACUGUGUAAUUAGUUUUUAUUUUCAUCUUUAUUUAAUGCUCCAUGCAUGCGAUCAAAGAUUCGAUGUGACGGGGAAUCUUGAAAAUUUUUACGAACUAAACAAAGCCUUAGUUUCCCAAAAACCAAAAAGCUUUCAAGAUUACCUGUCACAUCAAAUUUUUCGGCAUAUAUAUGAAGCAUUAAAUAUAUACGAAAAUAAAAACUAAUUGUAUAGUUUAUCUGUAAAUCGCGAGACGAAUCUUUUGAUCCUGUUAGUUUAUACUUGGACAAUAUUUAUCACAAACAAACCAAAAUACUAUAGUAAAAAAAUCCAAAAUCUUUUUGCAUCGGCCCGAGUCACACACUCAAAAAAAAAAGGAGACGUGUUUAUAGGAAACAUUCUAAACGAGGAGCUGCAACGGAAGACUUUAUUAACCAAUAGUAACAAUUACCUUGGUCGAGUAUUUAUUAACCUAGUUGUAACCCCAACGGUUCAGAUCCAUCCAUUUGUUCUUGUCCAUGGGCACGCACACGCAGCCGGCGCAGGACCUUCCGAGCGAUGGCGGCGGCGGCGGCGGCGGCCCGCACGUGCUUCUCGUGCCGUACCCGGCGCAGGGCCACAUGCUCCCGCUCCUCGACCUCGCGGCGCUGCUCGCCACGCGCGGCCUCGCGGUCACCGUCGCCGUGACGUCCGGCAACGCCGCGCUGCUGUCGCCGCUGGUUCGCGCGUGCUCGUCCGUGGCCGUGCUCUCGCUGCCCUUCCCGUCCUCGCCGCUGCUCCCGCCGGGAAGCGGCGAGAACACCAAGGACCUGCCGCGCCACCUCUUCCGGCCCUUCAUGGUCUCCCUCGCGGCGCUCCGCGCGCCGCUCCUCGCCUGGUGCAACGAGCAGGGACGGCACGGCCACCGCGUGACGGCCGUCAUCUCCGACUUCUUCACGGGAUGGACGCAGCCGCUCGCCAAGGAGCUGGGAGUGCCGCACGUCACCUUCUCCCCCUCCAGCGCGCUCCACCUCGCCAUGUCGCACGCCCUCUGGCGCAGCCCGCCGACGAGGAGGCGCCGCCGCGAGGACCCCGACGCCGACGACGAGGCGGUCACGUUCCCGGAGGUACCUGGCUCGCCUACCUUCCCGUGGCGCCACCUGUCGGGGCUGUUCCGGCAGUACGCGGCCGGCGACGAGUUGUCCGAGGCGAUCCGGCAGCUCUUCCUCUGGAACCUGGGCAGCUCCUGCUUCGUCGCCAACACGUUCGCGGCGCUGGAGGCGGACUACGUGACGCGGCCACUCCCGGACCUGGCGUCGAAGCGGGUGUUCGCGGUGGGCCCGCUGUCGGACGCCGCCGGCGCGGCCACGUCCACGUCGGGCGGCGACCGCGGCGGGAAGCCCGCGGUGGCGGCCGCGCUGGUGUCCGCGUGGCUGGACGCGUUCCCGGACGGCUCGGUGGUGUACGUGAGCUUCGGCACGCAGCAGGCGCUGUCGCCGGCGCAGGCGGCGUCGGUGGCGGACGCGCUGGCGCGAAGCUCGGCGGCGUUCGUGUGGGCGGCGAGGGCGGGCACGGCGGUGCCGGACGGGUUCGAGGCGGGCACGUCCUCGCGCGGGCUGGUGAUCCGCGGGUGGGCGCCGCAGGUGGAGGUGCUGCGCCACCGUGCCGUGGGCUGGUUCCUCACGCACUGCGGCUGGAACUCGGUGCUGGAGGCGGCCGCCGCCGGGGUGGCCAUGCUGGCGUGGCCGAUGAGCGCCGACCAGUUCACGGACGCGCGGCUGCUCGCGGAGGCCGGCGUGGCCGUGCCCGUGGCGGAGGGCGCCGACGCCGUGCCAGACGCCGGGACGAUGGCGGCGGCGAUCGCGGCGGCCGUCGGGAAGGAGGGGCAGACCGUGAGGGAGCGCGCGGCGGAGCUCGGACGCUUGGCGGCGGCGGCGGCGGUGGCGGAGGGCGGGAGCUCGCACAAGGACCUGGAGGAGUUUGUGCAGAUGCUGCUGACCCCGCAACUUUGAGAGACGUCCAUGUCACUCCCUCCCUCACUCGGGCUCCCCUGCGCUCCUCCUCGCCGCUGUUUCAGCCGCUGAUUGCAAGAGAAGCUGAAGCCAGCAAGACAAGACCGAGAGCGCUGCCUGGGCCGUCUCCAUUACAUUAGUUUUUCCAUUAACCACCAAAAACAUGGUUUAUUUAAGUGAGCAUAAAACCAGGAUGGAGACACCCAAUUUUCUGAAAACUCACAACAAUAGGUUUUGUGAAAAGAGAGAGUUGUUUUUUCUCAAAACUCAAUACCGGAUAAUUAACACCUACUUAUGUACCAAACAUGAUGAUCUUAACUAAUUAACAACUCCAAACUAAUUUUGCAGAAACUCAAUGUUAAACUAGUUUUAUCUAAACUGAUCUACAAACUCUUCAUCCAAACAACCACUAACGGCAUCGUUGCAAACUUGUUCAAAUAUUCAGCCACGACAUGGCCUUUGCAAGCUCUAAUAAUUCCUCCGGCUGACAAUUGCCUCCACACAUGUGCAUUAGCAUGUCAAUCUAGGUCAUUAUUUCUUGCCACUAAAGUAUUAUGCCAUGGUGUUGUUGUAAAAGGAACUUCAUUCACUGUCUUCAACUCAUGUAACCGCCGUCACAAGCAGGGCAAGCCGUCCGAGUACUACUGGCAGCCAAAGGAUGUCUCCACGUCUUCAACAUUGUAACAGGUUAGGCAGGCCCCGAGAACUUUUUAGCGUUAAACCCAUGCAACUGCUAUCUUAGGUUAGGCUCGGGCCUUUCCGAACACAUGGGCUAUCGUAGAUUGGGCUCGGGCCUUCCAAAGUACUUCAUAUGCAGUCGAGCCUCCUCACCUCAUACAGGCUGCAGAAGGUGGUUGCGUGUAGUAUGGUAAAAUACCAUCAUGUAUGCAAGGGUGUAUCAACCAGGGUAGCAAGGGGAUCAAGCCCCCCCCUAAGGGACUGAAGUCAUCCUCCCCCGUCACUCCAAACCAACACACGCCCUAAAACCCUACUUACAUACCAAUGAAGAAAGAUGAAGAUGGAGAGAAAGGAAGCAAGUAGAAAAUAUAGAGAGGAAAGGUGGAGGAGGAAUCACACAUAGAAGUCAGCAUCCUCUUGAAUUUUGGCCUAUUUUGACAUAUAGUAGUGUGAUAUUUUAUCAUUUUAUUAUGACCUACAAACUAGCCCAUAUAAGACAUAGUUAAACAAUCUCUAAGUGUUAUCAAUGUCCAGUGCGUGAGAAACAUACAGUACCCACCGAAUGUGCACGCAUGUUUAUACCCUGUUUUUCUAGAAAAAAUCUAGAAAAAGGCACAUUCACUGCUUCAUCAACUAUUAAGAGAAACUCUAAAAAAACUAUUAAGAAAAUAUAAGAUCACAUCAACCUUUGCCUCGGUGUUAGGGUGUAAAUAUGUGAUGUCAUCUCCGCACUUCAUUUGAGCCUACUGAGUUACUUAGCUAGUGAUGCAAUGCAACGUUUGGGCCUAGGCAAUCCCACGUAUAUAAGCAUAAUUAUGUAAUUCUAAAUCUAAAAAAACAUAAUUAUGUGAGCAACACGCCUAUUUUAAUUAAACUAAACGAGCGUCUACCAGCCCAUGUGCACCAUUUUUCGCUCGGCCCAAGUGCAUCCCAUUCAUCCUCUCAACCGUCCGUGGUGCUACUCCUAAAAAAAAAACGCAAGCCCACUCCAACGAGAGCUUGCACAUUUGUGUUUGACGGCCGGGCCGAGGGCUUGACAUAUACAGGCACACGAAAAGCAUAUGCAAUUGCAUUGCUCCCCACUCGCCUCGCCAGUCAAGCCUCCUGUUUUUGCUUAUAUAUACUCCUACUACAUUUGUCAUCGGAGCUAGUAACAAUAAUGUACCAAAUGACAGCUGAGCUAACAAUGUUUGGGCCCGUUCAAACUUCGAAGCUAAGUCCUGUAAAUACGGUUCAGACAGUACUGUACGGGUCAACUCUCGGGGGAAGAUUUUUUUUCUUUCAGAAGCAAUGCUUUGUGGUUCAUGUUGGGUUUUACGAUGACAGCGUUAACUAAUGCUGGUUAGAGUACUACUAUUAAUUAAGCUCUCAGCUGAACCCCUAUGUGGUAAGAGCUACUAAGCCUGAAGCUGCUGCCAUGCAUUGAUAUGCAUGCAUAUAAUCUCAUGUCCCAAGUAACAGGAGCAUCAGCAUGCCAUGGUUUCCAAAUUUGUGCAUGAUGAUGCCAGUGCAGCAGUGCCUCAUUUUGCCGAGUUUAUGGGUACCAAACAGUAUGGCACAGCGCCACCAGAAGUGGACCUUCCAACAGGAAAAAGAAAAAACAGUUCAUGAUUGACCUCCCAAGCAGCAGGCAGGCAGGCAUGUCAGCCCCAACAAUGCGAAUUUGCUGCACUCUUUCUAGCGAACACACGAUCUGAGCUUCGAGUUCUGAGACCCAAAAUGACGGAGAGCAUGCGCAUUUGAUUUCCUUUGCUCAACUGUAAGCAUUGUGGAAGAGAUCACCAUCAUUGCUGGAAUGGAAGCGAAGAGUCGAAAAAGGAGAACACAGACAGACAGAUUGCAAGAACUGCUGUGCCUGUGCCUUGCCACAAGCCGCCAAUGAACACCCAGCAAAGUCAAAAAGGCUAGAGAGAAAGUGUGGUGGCUGGUGACAAAUACCUGCCUUUGAUGCUACAAAUUGCGGGUUUCGCGUUCAGCUCGGCCACUCGGGUGCAGUGUGUAGAGGUUAAUUAGUUGCAUCCAAAGUAGGGCUAGAAAGUCUCAUAGCAUUUUUUUGGUUACUCUACUCCUAAGAAAAAAGGCUAAUGAUAACGAUGCAAAUUUGUUUAAAUAUUCAGCACAACAUGGCACUAAUAAUUCCUCCAGCUGACAAUGGCCUGCUGAGUGCCUCCACACACAUGUGCAUUAGCAUGUCUGUCUAGGUCCUCACUGCUUGCCACCCAAGCAUUACGCCAUGGUACGGUGUUGCUGUAAAAGGAGUUUCCUUCCCGUUCAAAAAAAUGUAGUAUGAUUUUUUUUGGAGAUGUAAGUAAUAUUUUGUGUAUAUAUAUUUUGAUGAAAUCAUGUAGUAAUACCCAUAGCAAUGAUGGCAAUAAUACUGGCAUAUUGGCAUGUAUGAUAUGGCAGGAUUGCCUGAACCUGAAAGAGUGAGCUGGGUGAAGGGACCCAGUGGCAGGUCAUAGUGGCCAUGCCAACCAACUCCAAUUUCAUGUCGCCGGCACAGCUUACACUGGAUCUGAUCCUCAGCAGCAGGACCCGGAGAGAAAUUAUGAAAAAAAAAAGGGCGAUUUGCAUGGACCAUGGAUGCUUGAGUUUGGAUAUAAUGUAUUCUGCUAUAAAAAGGAGAGAAGAGGCAUUUCUUGUUCGAAAAAUAAAAGAAGGAAAAAAAAAUAUGUAACUCUGUUUCUGACUUUGCAGCACUGGUUGAUAAAAAGAAAUUGGCCAAAUGACCCCGUGUGCAAACUAUGUGGAGUCGAUCCGGAAAAUCCAACGUACUUGUGCAAGGAUUGCCCUUUCACAAAACAAGUAUGGGCUGUGAUGAAAAAUUGGUUCGGAUUAUCAAAUAUUGACACGGUGGGAGAAAAUGGAUCACUCCAUGGGUACUGGCGCAGAUGCAGGCUACGGAUAGACAAACCCCAUCGAAGAAAUUUUGAUGGUCUUAUGAUCUAUUUUUGGUGGAAUAUUUGGAAAGAGAGAAACAGACGAACUUUCCAGAACAAAAGUCUGCGACCAAGAGAAGUGGCACGUUUGCAGCACUGGAGCAUAAACAUAACAAUUUCAAUUUCAGCGGUAUAACUAAUACAACUGUUUUACGGAUCCAAUAAUUUGUAGGUAGUAAGGACUUUCAAUAUCACAUCAAUAACUUGUACUAGGUAGUAAGGACUUUCAAUAAUUUUGUACUAGUAGUAGCUGCAUUACUCACAUCAAUUCAAAUUCAAAGAUAGAGAUCUGAACAAAACAAAUCUUGCAUUUCAUUGUAUGUAAUAUACAAUAAUAACAAUGGUUUGAUCUUAUAUACGUACCCCAUAUUUAGCAAUAAGCAUUCACAUAGUAGUAGCCCAAAUAUCUAGGCAUUUAUAAGCCCGGAUCAAUCAAAUAAAGACAAUGCAGGAAUUACAUGUAUAGCCUGGAAGCUGGGUCCUAAUAAUAAAAUAAAAUAAAAUAAAAUAAAAUAAAAAAGAAAAGUGAAAAAAUCGUAAAAUGUGGACCUCACGUGCUGGCCUUGCUGUUUGGUCACGUGACAGCCCUUCCUUGCUCUAGUCCUCCCGGCAAAGGCAACUCGGCAAAUCCGCCCCCCUAAUUCCGCGCCAAUCUUUAACCCCCGAUGAUAAACCUCGGAGGCCGGAGGAAUUGACUAUUUCCACUCAGAUCCCCGAAGAACACCACAAGUCGAUGCACACCCCCUUCCGUUUCCGUGGAGCAGCUCUGAGCUGGAAACUUUCCAAUUGGGCCUCUAAAACAAUCUAACCGUGAAGUUGAAGCCCCUCCUCAGUCCACCCUCCCCGGCCGGAGAAGACCCUGAUGCGGCUGCGGCUGCGGCCGGAGGCCUGAGUUUUGGUUGGAUAUGGGUGGAGUGACUUCGUCCGUGGCCUCCAAGAUGGCGUUCUUCCCUCCCGACCCGCCGUCUUACGGCGUGGCCAACGAGGAGGACGAGCCAGCGGCGGCGUCGGUGGAGGAUGCGUCGUCGCGUAAGGUGGCAACCAGGAGGGUGGUGAUGACGGGCGUGCGGUGGAGCGUGGGCGUGGAGGCGAGGCGGGUGCGGACGCGGCGGGGCUCGGAGAUCAUCGCCGUGUACGUCCGGCACCCCGGCGCCAGCCUCACCGUCCUCUUCUCCCACGGCAACGCCGCCGACCUCGGCAAGAUGUACGGGAUCUUCGUCGAGCUCAGCGCACGACUCCACGUCAACCUCAUGGGGUAAGUGAUGAUUGACUGGUUUCUCCGAUGCUUUUGACUUGGUUGGGCGACCAAGAUUACUGCUUUAUUAUUAGUUAUACUGGCCGAUGGAUGAUGAUCUUGUGAAAACUGAUCGGAACACAAUUUUCGUUUUCGUUUUUGAAAGAACGAACUUUUUUUUUUCUCUAGAAGGCAACAACCCACAAUCUGAUCGGAUCAUGGUUUGAUCCUUUAGAAUGGGCGUGUCUUGAUCACUUGUUUUCCUUCUGUUUGGUUCUGUCGUUUUCAGUAUUAUUAUUAAUUAAUGGUUUUCUGUCUGUGUGGUGGAUUGAAUAUGAUGAAUAUAGUGAUCAUACAUGUCCAACUACUGUUAUUGAGCGGGGUAAUCAUAUGCUGCAUGCUACUUCGAUUUGCAUUAAUUGUUUUCAUUAGCUUAUAGUAUUUUCUGAAUGAUGGGAGUUUGAUUUCUUGUUAAAGAUUUAUCAUGUGCAAUUGAUACUCCUGAUUCUUUUGGGAAGAUCAGAUUUUAAUUUCCUCUGAUUGAUGAGAGAGCUGCACACGUUAUUUGGCUAUAGGAUUUAGUUUGCCAUUAUAGGUGCAACUGAUGUAAAAUUCGCCGCUGCUGCUGCUGCUACUGUUCCAGAAAAUUAUGGUUUUUUUUUUCGUUCUACAAUCCAUUUAUUGCCAAUCCUGAACCUGUAAAAUAUUAUGUUUGGGAAAUCUUUUUGUCUUUUGUCUCCAUUCGAGGUGAAGAUGUUAUUGACACUUUUCUUGGUAGGUUAGGAUAGUUCUAUACUCUAGUCAAGCUAAUUCUGCAUUCGGAACCUGUUUGUUUGGCUGGUGCUUGCAAAAGUAGCUCAGUUCUGUGACCAUCUUUUCUUGAGAGUGGCAAAUAAAGGUCUCAAUACGCUUUUUUGUGGUUGUUUAAUUUUUACUAGGCACUGUACAUAGAAAGCUAAUCAUUGGACAACAGUCACAGAGCAGAGCUCUAAAGUUUGCUUGAUAUCAUUGCUUGAAGGUAUUUUCAACUUGUUUAUGUGGGUCACUCUCACUCAUGGCAACAGCAUUUUGACCUUUCAUUGGACUUGCUUUUCCCUGCUGGAGCAGUAUAUUAAAUUCGAGUUUCGCACAUCAUGUUUUAAAUUUAUUUGCUACUUAACUAUUUGGCUACACAAUGACACCUCAAGUAUACACAGUAAAGCAACCCCGUCCACAUGCCCCCGAUAUUAUCCUGCCAUAAAAUCCUUCGCUCGAUCAAGGGAUCAAACUCGACUGUUGGAUUGGAUUCGUAGCAAACUAGCAAACAAACCCAGACAUAACAGAACAGCUAAUUGGAUGUUACAUCAAUGAUGCAGAUAUGCUGCAUGAAUGAACCACACGAUGGCCCAGAACACGCAAGGGUGCUCAUUACAGCACAUACUAUUAGGUGAAACUAGUCUUACAAGUACAGUUAAGUACAAUGCACUAACUGGGUGCACGUCUACACUACCUGUUAAGUACGAUUAAGAGGGCAAGAGGGAUUUUCAGACAAGAGGGUGGGGUUAGAUGCAGGAGUCUGAAGAAAAGGAGGGAACAAUGAUGUGGUCCAGGGGUUAGUUUGCCCAUCAAAGUGAGACAAAGAGACAAAGAGAGUGAUGUGUAGGAGCUGUCAACAAACAUGUAUAGAUAGAUUUAAAAUAUAUAGUCAUCAAACGAUUUUUUUAUAAAGAUGGUUAAAAGAUAAAAAGUUCUAUGAAUACAAUUUUAUUUUGGUUUCCAAUCAUGCAUGAGCUGAAAUCAGCAAAUCACACUGAUAAUUAACUCGAAAUACAUGCUACUUUCAGAUUUUCUAAAACCCCAAUUGACAAUGUCCAAGACACCUGAUGUUGCAUCUUGUAUAUCAACUAUUAGUAUCCUUAUGACAGACAAAGUCUCUUGACAAAGUUCAAGAGAGCUUAUGUGCAAACUGUAUCAACUGUUAAUGUUAUGUUGCAGUAUGAUCAUAAAAUUUAUUCAGAUUUCAUUUUGAUCGCGGACAAACAUUCAAUUUUUUUUGCAAUAUUUUACUAGUGCAUUACUAUUAGUGUGUGUGUGUGUGUGUUUGAUCUGGACAUUUUCAUUGACGUGAAGAUGUUGGUCAGGCUAUCUGGUUUAUUCGUUCUUGUUGAACCAUGUAAAUAGUUAUUGGUUCUUGCAAGUCUAUGUCCUUCUUGAAGGUUUAGCAAAUUAUCUGCUAUGCUGUUCUGAUGAUCGAAGUUGCCUGUCUCAGAAUAAUUGCAUCAUUCUUUGCAGGUAUGAUUACUCUGGUUAUGGGCGGUCAUCAGGCAAGGUAAUUUAUGUCCGUCCUUUUUUGAAACUAAUGCUCUUACCAUGUCACCUUCAGUCGAGGGGCACCUUGGCCUUUCUUGUUACAAUAGAGGCCUUGAAACUGAUUCUUGUUUUAAUCUGAACUAGUUCAUUUUGUAGAAGUUAGAUCCUUUCUAGGAAAAACAGUGCUGCGUGCUGACACAACCUUUCUGUAAAAUCCAUCUUCAGCCAAGUGAAGCUAAUACCUUUGCUGACAUAGAGGCUGCAUACAAGUGCCUUGUGGACGUUUAUGGAACUAGGGAAGAAGACAUUGUUCUGUAUGGUCAGUCUGUUGGCAGCGGACCAACCCUCGAUUUAGCUGUUCGUUUCCAUCGCGUAAGAGCUGUGGUUCUGCACAGUCCAAUCCUGUCUGGAUUGCGUGUCAUGUAUUCUGUGAAGAAAACAUACUGGUUUGACAUAUACAAGGUUUGCCUCUCUGUCUGAAGUAUCAAGAUGAACGAUUUACAUCCUGUAAUAUGCUAACACUUGUUUCAUUUGCAGAACAUCGACAAAAUCCCGCAUGUUAAAUGCCCAGUUCUGGUUAUCCAUGUAAGCUCUUUAUACACAUCUACUAGGUGGUAGUAUUCUUCUACUAGCUUCAUCAGAUCAUUAAUAAACUGGAUCAUUAUUUUCAAUUUUCAGGGCACAAAAGAUGACGUCGUGGACUGCUCCCAUGGGAAGCGGCUCUAUGAGCUGUGCCAACACAAGUAUGAGCCUCUGUGGAUCGAGGGAGGCGACCAUGGCAACCUGGAGAAAUUCCCGGUGUACAUACGACAUCUGAAGAAGUUUUUAUCGACCAUAAAGAAGCUGCCAUCUGAAAAAGAUGCCGCAGCUGAGCAUGAGACAUGGGCAGCUGAAAACAGAGCGCAGCCUGACAGUGAAACCAUCUCCGAGACUCCUUCUCGCAUGAUCUCGCGAAGGCUAGAGCCGUCGAAGAAGAGCACGAUCCAUGAGGACCCUACGCUGAGCACGGAGCAUGUAGAUAAGCGCAGGCGAAGCACGGGCCACAGGGAGAAGGCGAGGUCCAGCACAGAUAGGAGAUCCAGGAGGAGCGUGGACUGCUUCGACAGCAUCCUCGAACAUGAGCAACAGGAAAAGCCAAGGAAAAGCUUUGAUAGGUUAGUUCUGCCUCAGCUAUAUAUCUUGUUUAUUUGAUUUGAUUUGAAGAAAUAUAGUUUGGAAAAUGUGAUGAUACGAAUGUUUUUGUUUGUAUCUUUGUCGUUAUUCUUGUGCAGGAUCGGAGAGAAGAUUAGAGCCAUGGGUCUGUGCAAUGUCGACUGCUUCAAAGAGCCUCCAGACAGCGCUGAGCUCAGCCGAGGUCGAUGAAUGGAGUGUUGCUGUCAGUACGUGUCAGUAUUUUUCCCUUGUUGCUUAGAUAUAAAAGAAGACUCUGCGUGAUGGGAAUGUUAAUCAUAAGAUGCUCACGAACAGUAAAGAGAAAUAUAGCACGAUCGAUCUUUAUGUCAGCGUCUGAUUCUUUCACACUUGUGUAUACGUUACGUUGCUUGAAGACUUGUAAACACACACACUACACAGCGCUGUGAUGUGUCCGGAUAGAGACUGCUCGGUCUGUUAUCAGCAAGAAAAGAUACUCCUUCCAAAAAUAUCUCCUUUUGCCAAGAAUCAAACCUACAAAUAGAAAAUAGCAUGCACAUUUGUACAACUGAAUAAAUAAAUUUAUUAUAAAAAGUAUAUUCCACGAAUAAUCCAAUUAUACUUAUUAUUAUGCAUCAUAGAUAUUAGUAAUAUUUUUUAUGUUUAUUAGUUAAGCUUAAAAAUAUUUUAAUUUUUUUAGAAGUGAGGCCCAUUUUUUUCUUCUUUUGGACGGGGAGUAGCCUCUAACACAGAGGUGGUGAUUUCAUCACGUCACAUUUCGAUAAAUGGGCCUAUGAAAGCAGAAGAAAGAGGCCUGUUUGGGCCUACGAAUGAAAGCAGAAAAAAGAGGAGAGGCCCGGCUCACAGUCACAGUGGCAGUGUCCGGGUGCUUCCAGAAGCUCCUCCGGCCGCGCCUCAUCUCAUCUCAUCUCCUUCCUCCUUGUGUUGAACCCGCCGGCCUCGCACAGCUCUUACUACAAAAACCCUAACACCCCUCCCUUAUCCUCUGCUCCCUCUCCCCCUCCCCCUCCCCACGAACGUUGGCGUGCCCCCGGUCACUGUCUCCCAUCCCAUGGCGCCGGCUUUGAGCGGGACUCUGGGCGCGUCGUCGGUGGCGGCGCUACGGCCCUGCGCGGGAAGGAGGGCGCCCUCCGCCGCGACCUCGGUUGCUCCGCGGGGGAGUGGGGUGGCGAGGUGCGCCAGAGGUCUCAGGUGGGAGGCCCACAGGAGCAGGGGGAGGUCGCUCAGGGUGAGGUGCGAUGCGGCCGUCGCCGAAAAGCCCGCCGGGGAGGAGGCGGCUGGGGAGCAGUUCGAGUACCAGGCGGAGGUGAGACUUGACGAAAUUUUUAAUUGGCGUCCAUCCGUACACCUUGAGUUUUUUUUUUCCGGAAUUGAUGUGAUAAGGUUACCUGUAAUUCGCUAGAAAUGUUGCCAAAUCUGUAUGUCCGAGUUUGAUUGUGUGUUCCAUUUGUGUGCCACCCACUGGUUACUGAAACAUGUAUAUUUCUAUCUAUUCUAUGUACCUUGUAGGUGAGCCGGUUAAUGGAUUUGAUCGUCCAUAGUCUGUACAGUCAUAAGGAGGUAUUUCUCCGCGAGCUUGUUAGGUCAGUACCUUUAGCUGGAAUCUGGCAAUCUAUGGUAAUUCAUUUGAGGGCAUUAUUCGUGGAUGGUACUUACCUGCUGCUCUACCAGCAACGCGAGUGAUGCAUUGGAUAAACUGAGGUUCCUUGGCGUGACUGAUUCUUCUUUGCUUGCUGACGGUGGUGAGCUGGAAAUAAGGAUUAAGCCUGACCCUGAUGCUGGGACGAUUACUAUCACGUAAGUUCCAGUCUCUGACAGAACUACUUGGUGUUCUGUGAACAGACUCUAAUGUCAUGAUUUUCUGGUGGUUUGUUUCAACAGUGACACUGGUGUUGGUAUGACUAAAGAUGAGCUCAAGGACUGCCUUGGUACCAUUGCUCAGAGUGGCACCUCAAAAUUUCUGAAGGCCCUCAAGGUGCAGCACCAUACCUUCCUUGACAAUUGUGAAUACAUCUAUGAGUAUGGGAUAUGGUUAUGCCCUAAAUGCUGUACUAGUGUCUAUGCGAUUGUUGCAUUGCCUUUUUCCCUAACGUGAAAAUGCAUUGCUCUUCAGGAAAACAAAGACCUUGGGGCGGACAAUGGUCUAAUUGGUCAGUUUGGUGUUGGGUUUUACUCAGCUUUUCUUGUUGCAGAGAAGGUUUGAGAUAUUUCUUGGAUGCUUUUUUUCUUAAAUAAUUUUACAUGGAAUGAGCUUUUACUCGUUUUGCACUGGCUUAGAUUGUUAUUUAAGUUGACAUUUUUUUAAAAUCCACAUUGCAGAUUGUGGUGUCCACCAAGAGUCCAAAAUCAGAUAAACAGUAUGUGUGGGAAGCUGUCGCUGACAGUAGCUCUUAUAUCAUCAAGGAAGAGACUGAUCCUGAGAAAAUGCUUACACGUGGAACUCAGAUUACUCUGUUUCUAAGGGUAUGUUGAUAUGUUCUUCUGAUAUGCCAUGAAAUGCUUUUUCUUUAAUAGCAACCUUACAUUAAUAUGUCUUCUAUAGUCUGAUGAUAAGUACGAGUUUGCGGACCCUUCAAGGAUUCAAGGCUUAGUAAAAAACUACUCUCAGUUUGUGUCUUUCCCCAUAUACACAUGGCAGGAGAAAUCAAGAACUGUUGAGGUACGGUCUUGACAAAGCUUCUUGCUUAUUCUCUUGACCAGAUCUGUUCUUUUGAUCUAUGAAUGGAUGUGUAUGGUCUUUUCAUUUUUCAUUUAUUUCACUGAUGUAGUCCACCCUUGAUUGACAGGUUGAAGAGGACGAAGAGCCGAAAGAAGGUGAAGAGGCAACAGAGGUUAGUUUUUCUGAAUGGACUCCUAGUUUUCCUUGAUGUUUGUAGAAUCUUGCUUCUUUUGUAACUGAUUAGGCAUACUUUGACAUAUAGGGUGAGAAAAAGAAAAAGAAGAAGACUGUUACUGAGAAAUAUUGGGACUGGGAACUAGCCAAUGAAACAAAACCCAUAUGGGUAAGUCUGGAGUUACUAUUGCCUGUUUGUUUCAUACUUAGAACAGCACCCUUCUGGUAAUUCUGAUCACUCUGGUCUCCAAGGGAGUAAGAGCUAAUGAAGAAAACAGACAGUUGAUUUCUAUUCUCUCCAUGCAGAUGAGAAAUCCAAAGGAAAUUGAGAACACCGAAUACAAUGAGUUCUAUAAGAAGACAUUCAAUGAGUUUUUGGACCCCCUUGCCCACACUCACUUCACAACAGAGGUGUGAAUUCAUUAAACAACUCUGUGAAACACUUAAAUUCACACACACAUUGUAUAUAUAUUCAAUAACUGAUCUAUUCUAUUAACAGGGUGAGGUGGAAUUCAGGAGUGUUCUUUAUGUUCCAGGCAUGGCACCGCUUAGUAAUGAGGAGAUAAUGAAUCCCAAGACCAAAAAUAUCCGGCUAUAUGUUAAAAGAGUCUUCAUCUCUGAUGACUUUGAUGGUGAACUGGUACACUAUCUUUCAAUGCUAAUAAAUUCUACUAUCCAUCGAUUGAGAUGGAAUGAAUUAUUGAUUUUAGCAUGCAUCUUGCAGUUUCCAAGAUACUUGAGCUUUGUUAAAGGUGUGGUGGAUUCAAAUGACCUUCCCCUCAAUGUUUCUCGGGAGAUUCUUCAAGAAAGUCGAAUUGUAAGUAAUGGGUGAAAGUGAAACACCUGCCAGUUUUUCCUCUCCCCCUUUGAAAUUGUAUAUUUUGAAGGUUCUUACUGUCGAUAUAUUUAGAGACAAUCUUAUGUAUUUUUGUUCAGGUAAGAAUUAUGCGCAAGCGACUUGUCAGGAAGACAUUUGAUAUGAUUGAAGAGAUUGCCGAAAAGGAAGAUAAGGAGGUACAAUUGGACCUUUAGGCCCUGUUUGGUUCCACCAACUAAAUUUUAGCUAGCUAAAAUUAUUUUAGCUACUCUUAGGUGACUAAUGGAACUAAACUAUUUUAGCUCCUUUUAGUCAAUGUGUUUGGAACUUUAGCUACUAAAGUGACUAAAAUUUAGCUAGCUAAAAUUUAGUUGGUGGAACCAAACAGGACCUUAGUUUGAUCCUAGUUAUUUUGUUUACUUGAUAUUGAUUUUCCUUAAUUUGUUCUGUAGGAUUAUAAGAAGUUUUGGGAGAGCUUUGGCAAGUUUAUUAAGCUUGGUUGCAUUGAGGACACAGGGAAUCACAAGCGCCUUGCUCCAUUGUUGCGCUUCCACUCUUCUAAAAAUGAGGGAGACACGAUAAGUCUUGAUCAAUAUGUAGAGAGCAUGCCUGAAAGUCAAAAGGCAAUCUACUACAUCGCUACAGAUAGUCUCCAGAGCGCAAAGACUGCUCCUUUCUUGGAAAAGCUGGUCCAGAAAGAUAUUGAAGUAUGUACUUGACAUAGACACAAUUGACUAUGGGAGAGACAUGUUCUUUCUUUUUUCAUGCUUUGGCUCAGGGUACUGCUUGAUUUUUAUCUAGGUUCUCUACCUUAUUGAGCCAAUAGAUGAGGUUGCCAUUCAGAACUUGCAGACCUACAAAGAGAAGAAAUUUGUGGAUAUCAGCAAAGAGGAUUUGGAAUUGGGUGAGAAAAUGCUUAUGCUUGCUCAGAGUGGUUAUGACUGUUUGAUUACUUCCAUCGCAUUGAAUAGAAGAUACCUUUAUUUAUUGUCGCAGGUGAUGAAGAGGAAGAGACUAAAGAAACCAAGCAGGAGUUUACUCUCCUAUGUGAUUGGGUUAAACAACAGCUUGGUGACAAGGUUGCGAAGGUCCAAAUAUCGAAGCGUUUAAGUUCAUCUCCAUGUGUUCUUGUAUCUGGCAAGUUCGGUUGGUCCGCUAAUAUGGAAAGGUAGGUUUGUUGUUAAGCCAUUGCUUUUAGUCAUUAUCUGUGUCUUCAUAUGUAUUUCUCAAAAUCUGACAGGCUCAUGAAGGCUCAAACACUUGGUGACACAUCAAGCUUGGAAUUCAUGAGGGGAAGAAGGAUUUUCGAAAUCAACCCUGACCACCCAAUUAUCAAGGAUUUGAGUGUAAGACCAUUACCCCUGGGGAAUCAGUUAUCAAGCUCACCAACAAUUAACAUGCUUGAGCUAUAUGAAGUAACUAAUCUGAAAGAGAAAUUAUUGUUGGCAGGCUGCUUGCAAAAAUGAGCCCGAUAGCACAGAAGCCAAGAGGGCUGUUGAGCUCCUAUAUGAGGCUGCUUUAAUCUCAAGUGGAUAUACUGUAAGUAUAAUGGAAUACGUUUCUGGAUAUUGAUGGUCUUGGUGAAAAAACAUUAUUAAAAUGUUGGAAUGUUUGUCAUAAUUUCCAGCCAGAGAGUCCAGCAGAGUUGGGUGGCAAGAUCUAUGAGAUGAUGGCGAUUGCCCUCGGUGGGAGAUGGGGAAGGUCCGACAUGGAGGAGACUGAGACAUCAAUGAGUGAGGCCAGCGCAGAGUCAGACUCAUCUGAAGGCACCGUAACAGAGGUGAUUGAGCCCUCAGAAGUUAGACCCGAGAGCGACCCAUGGAGGGAUUAGUGAGUUCUCCCACGGCUAGGCUUUGUUAGAACUUCAUAUUUAGCAGUUCCGGGGGUAAAAUUAAGGCCAUGGGCUAGAACAUUAUUUGGUUACAGAUACUUCUAUACGGGUUCCUGCCGUGGCAUUUUUUGUAGGUGUAGACUUGCUGGCCACUAACAUUUUAUUGAGGUAGUAGUGGCCUUAGAAAACAAUAAAGCAUGAAGACUGAUUACAUAGCAAAAUUGUGCUGCCCCUCAAUAAUAAUGAAAAAGAAGUUUCUGCACUGCUGUUUUCACAUUCCUCCAAUCGUUUCCUUUCGUUCUUACUGCAAAGCAGCUGCUUUGUCCGAGUGGUCAGCAGGGUAGAAUACCAAAUUGAAAAUGACCCAUUUCUACGAGAUUCUGUUUAUUGAAGCCAAUAUGAUAUUCUUUUUCCUCCGAUGCGCUGGGUAGGGAAAAGCCAAGAAGGCUCCAGACAGACACGGUAGAUAAUGAGAGAGUAAACAAGGACCGUAAACUGAGAAUCGAACGGUUAAAUUUUUUUUUUUUUGCUGUCGUGGCCUACCUGGCUGCUCGGCUUCGCGUUUCGAAUUAAAGAGGUGAAUGUUGCAUUAAAUAUCUUAUUAAUGAACAGUAAAACAGACAGGAGCAGAACGCCUCAGCAAGUUGAAUGGUACAGUCAAUAGACAGCAAAAUGUUACGAUCAGAGAGCAUUCAAAAUCAUCAAUACUCGCACAACAAACUGAUCUAAAAAGGUAUCCAUGAAAUAGCAAAGCCUACAAUGAAAAUAAUGAUGAGAAAUCUACAAAGAUGAGCUGUGGUGAAAAAAACGGAAUAACAAGAAGUAAAAAAAGAACCGAGUAAAAGCUGAGAGUUUAAUCUGAACAUAUAUAUGUUUUUAGUGCUGCUCGCUAACUAGCUAUAUAUUAACUAACAACACAAACAAAUACGCUGUGCAGCAACCUGUGUCUAACUGUCUAUUUUCAGGUGUUUCUCUUCAGGAACACAAAUUCACUUCACACUCCACCCAUUCCAACAUCAUCAUAAAUUCAUAGCUGCAGCAGAUCCCUACUUCCGGCGAUGAACUUUCAGUUCUGAUUACAACCAUGAAGCAAUGGUAACCUUUCAUGGAGGAAUCAAGCUUGUCCUGCCUCUGCACUAUGCAGUAACUUCACGUCUGGCACAAAUGCUAGUUAUGUGCCUUGGCCCUCUCUACUCUCUACUCCACGGCACAUGUCAGGUGACCAGAAAGCAAUUCUGAUCCUCCAUGGAGGUGGACUGCUAGAGCUUGUGCGGAACUUCACAUAUGAAACCGAUCCUGAUCAGACCUCAUGCCCAGAUGCUCUGGACCGACAGUCGCCCCGUAAACCGCUGUUUGCGCUGCAUUGUGGUGGAACGAUCCAUCCAAGGUGAGAGGCAUCUGCUGGAGAGGCUAAAGUUUGGUUAGGAUUCUUGAAAACCAACCUGAUUGCAAAUGCAUAAUUGCUCUAAAUUUCUAAUCUGAAACACCUGCAAUAAGACCUUAAUCCAUCUCUCAAAUAGUGCACAGCUAGUAGGUAAGUAGAAAUGCUGGGAUUCUGCUAUGCAGACCUGAGACUGAGAGACAUGAUCUGCGAUGGAGUCUUUGCCGUUUAGUUGCUCCUCCAUGGCUGUUCUGAACCCAUCUGAAUUGGCCAAGCCAUGAACGCCUCCUGGGAGCACACCCGACCGUGACAUUGGUGGUAGUAUGGGCAUCAUUUCGUGGGAGAACGAGAAUCCCAGGUGAGCAGAUGAGCUUGAAGGACCACUGGGGGCGCGAAAAAGCUGCAUUCCACCAAAUUUUGGCGCACAUUUCUUACAAAACUAAAAUGAAAAGAGAACAAGGAAGAACUGCAGGUGAGUUAGUAGAUUGCUUACAUCUUUCGACAGAAGCUGUUUUAUGUUGAGGCCGAGCUGUGGAUUGACCGCAGCAAGCUUCAUGGAUAAGAACUGCGAGAUGCAAGAAGGGGAAUCAUGCAUUUGGUCAGUACAUUGCCUUUAUCAGAUGAGAAAGAGAAACUCUCAGUAUGAGGAUUGAAGAUGAACCAUGCAUACCUCCACUUGCCUUUGCAGGGACUGGACAUAAUUGAUGAUCUCGUCCAGCAUCACCGCCUUCCCAGUUACCUAAAUCAAUCCAAACCCAACCCGGCCCAAAGAAAACGUGUCAUUAUUCUUAAGAAGAAGUUCUGAUUUCAGAAAAGUAAGUAGAGCUGUUCUUUCGGCCAAGAGGCUCACUUUAGUGCAACCAGGAACAAGGUCUUGCAGAAGCUUCAUCCUCUCACUGAUCUUCUCCCUUCUCAGCUAUCAGAAAAGAACCGAAUUUCAUGUUCAUCAUUCUUCAGGACUAUUUUCAAGUGCUAAAGCUAAUCCAUUGAGGUGACCAGUUGCUUGCACGUUCCAAGAACACCAAAUGUAUUUGCAACAAAUUAAAUCUGUGUGUACUGUACCUACCCUCUCUGCGAGGCUAUGCCUGUUGGUUGCCUGCCCCUUCCGGGCCCUGACAUGGAUGUACGACUCCGACUCGCCGUCGGCGGCCGAAGCUCCCUUCCCUUUCUUCUUGCGCGUCGCCGGCGGCGUCUCCUCCUUGCCUUUGGCGUCGUCCUCGCCACGCUCCUUGGAAGAAUCCACGGACGGCAUCCCUUGAUCUUGAUCCGUCCCAAUCAUCCCAAGAACGUCCUGCGACUGCGAUCCGACCACAACGCUGAGACACCGGCCAGUGUGCAAACCAAUUAGCACUGUAGUAGUAGUAGUGAGCAGUAAGCAACUAGUACCUCGUUCGAUCGCUUCCUUUUGUUGGAGUUGGAGUCCGGCUCCGGUACCCUGGACGAGCAGGCCUCGGCGCUCGGCGCGUCGCCGCCGCCGCCAAACCCCGGCUCGCCGUUGCCACUGCCGGUGGUGGCUUGCAGUGGGUGUUCCUCGGAGGUGAUGUACGAGGAGCGCAUGGCCAGCUGGACUAGGCCGGGGUCCAUGAAGUGCUCGAGAGCGGCCGGUGACGGGAGCUGGAGCCCGAGCAUCGGCGGCGGCAAGAGUCCCCCGCUUCUCCCGUCGGAGACGACGGCGCUGCCGCCGGCUAGCCCCGCAGCCUGAGACACCGACGCCCAUGCAAAUGAAUCCAUGGAGAGAGAGAGAGAGAGAGAGAGAGAGAGAGAGAGAGAGAUCAAAUGGGUGUUCUUGAAUGAGUAAUUUAUGGAGCUCUUCAGUAUUGACCUCUCAGGGAGCUCUUUACUCUGUGCUUUAACCUUUGCUUUUGCUUGCUUAGCUCGGUUUGGCAAUUGACACUGCAUUAUCUUGCCAAAAACAUUUUUAUUUCGCUUCUCGAGUGUUUCAGACGUCUGAUUUGUUUGUUGUUGUUAAUCAGGUACUCCUAGCAUGUAAUUUUAUUAUUACCUGUUUAUAGAAAAAAAAUCAUAAAUUAUAUUAUGAGUUGUAUUUUUAAUUAUAUUAGCUAAUUGUGUAGAAUUGUUGCCUGAAAAUUUACACACCUGAAAUAUAACAACUCUCUUUUUCUUUUUCUUUUUUUCUAAGUAGUUUCCUCAAGUUUUCGAUGUGGUACCAAGGCGAUUAGAGUCACCACGUUCGUUUGAAAAAAAAAAACAGAAUUAGCAUUGUUUUGGGGGUAACCGAACCUGCUUUCUUGAAAUCAACAAAGACGUAGUACUAGCUAAACUGCUCCGUGACAACUACUUGUUGCUUCUUCCAAGUUCCAUCUAAUCUGACUGACAUCUGACGCUACCAAAUCUCACGGCCUCCUGACUGACACUCUGACAGUGCCGACCACCACCCCUGACGUUGUUUAAUCUGCCUGCCUGUAAUUGUACUUAAAAACUGUGAGUGUCCCUUGCCCUAUCAUCAUUAGUUGACUGCUAAUAUAGUGCCAAUGCUACUUGGAGGCAAGUGUUGCUGUAAACUGCAUUUCCAUUCAAUGGCAGGGAAUUUUCUUUCUAAGGUUGUGUUGUGUUGAAUCGAGGCUCAGAUCAAGCGAAAUUUUCUUCUGAAGAACAUAAAUAAGUAGGUUCUCCUGAAUUUCCUCAUUUUCUACGUAGUAGCUACAAUCUCAAAAGAACGAUAGAAAAAAAAAGUUACUGUUCCUUGAUGUAGAAUUUCCAAUGCAAUACAGAGCCUACUGACUGACUGAGAUGCCCUUAUUAUUAUUCUGACUCUCUUAGCCUCUCUAGUCUCCAACUACUUAAACUAAACUAUCAUUAGCCUCGGGGUUCGCGACUGCCCCGAAUCUAAUCUUUUGAUUACUCCUACUGUCUAAAGCAAACCUUACGUAGACACUUUGAUCCUCCGGUAACUUCCUGCUGUUACUGUUUACAUCCUCCUUUCGGAUGCAUGCGUAGUAGUAGUACUAAAAUAAAAUAAAAUUCACCGUGGCCCGUGGGAGAGCCAAGCAAGAAGGCAAGGAGUGACUUGCAAGCUACUGCUGCUGUUCUAGCACAGCACAGAUGAAGAUGGAUGAUGGGCUUCUCUUCUUUUGAACGGGAGCACCGCGCCUUUCGGUUGCUCGCCCUUUUGCCUUUGCGCACUGUGGGCUUGCAUUGCAUUGCAUUGCAAAGUAACCUAGCAUGUUUCCGACACCAAAGAAACUGAAUGCAUGCCGGCCGGCCUUGCAUUGCAAAGUAACCUAGCCAAAGCCAAGGAAUGAAAAGCUUUGCGAGAACAUGAGGUAACCAAGGCUGAGCGUGUUGCUUCAAGCUCCUCGAACAGUCAGAUCAGUAACAUGCAUGGCCAAUCUGUGUAAGCUAUCUACUUCAUGAGUGGUGAACAUGUCAUUGGGAAGCUUGCCAACACAAGGGCAGAUUAAGAAUGUUUCAGUCUUUGGAGAGAAAACAGGGGGCUUGCAUUGCAUACGUUGAGUGAACUGUGGACAAAAGGGAGUUGUUUUGUGCUUUUGUGCAAACUGCAAAGCCAACUGCAACUGAUGUUCAUCAGAUCAUAGCUGAUGUCAGAUGGGAAGGAACAGAACGGUGUCAGCUUUCGUCGUCAGACGUGUGGUGGUGGCAGAAAGGAGAUGCAAACAUGAAACCGGGUGUGCAUGCUACGCAUAGCUCAUGAUUGAAAUAUACUCGGAGAAGAAGAGGAAGAUUGUUGUUCAUUUCCGAGAAGGAAUGGUUACCGAGACACAAAGAACAGAGGGCGGCUUAAUGGGGUCAUUACCGAGACUAAUUGAUUGACUGAACGUCGAAUGAUUAGUCAAGCAGGUUCGCAGGGGUCCAAGAGAAUCGGAUCUCGCCUGACUUGCAGGGCCGUUUAAUUUGGAGUUGGAGCAGCGGUUUGUUGAGACGCGUGGAAGUGGAAUGGAUCGGAGGAUGGAUAGCAACGUACGAAGAACAAUGCAUUCACAAGCUGUUUUGUAAAUAGCAUUCCCUCCAUUCCAAACUAUAAAUCGUUAUGACUUUCCCAGCAGCCCUCUCUCAUGGCUUCAGGACUUGUGCAGUGACUGACAAUGGUGACGGAAACAGUUCCAUUUCGGCCGUGUUUAGUUCACCCAAAAAACCAAAAAGUUUUCAACACAUCGAAUCUUUCGGUACAUGCAUGAAGCAUUAAAUAUAGACGAAAAUAAAAACUAAUUACACAGUUUAACUGUAAAUCGCAAGAGAAUCUUUUGAUCCUAGUUAGUCCAUGAUUGGACAAUAUUUGCCACAAACAAACGAAAGUACUACAGUGGCGAAAUCCAAAAUCUUUUUGCAUCUAAACAAGGCCAGUUUUCACUCUCACAUGGGAACAGUUAGAACUUGAACCCCAGUUUUUUCCCCCAAAAAAAUAAAAAAAAUAACUUCAACUCUCUUCCAGAGGAAAGGCACGCAGUAUUGGAAACUUGCAAGUGCAUCAAAGGUGCCGGUUCCUCGUUUACAUUACAUGGAAGCUCCCUAUGGCUGGAACUGGAAGGCCUGGAACUGGAGCUCAACCAGUCCAGGUCAUGUCUUUGCAAUGCGUGAUCGCCAUAUUAAUCUUGCAGCAAGAGUCAGAGCAAUAUAUAUACUGUGUACUCAUAGUAGAGUAAAAGAAUCAGAGCAGCUCCUGCAGAACUGAACUCUGUUUGUGUUCAUUGCAUUUGCACAGAUGAAACAGCAAUAUGGGACCUGGGCUGGGCAGCUGGACGAAGAACUCAACUGGGCCCUUGCUAAGUACGGGAUCGGAAGCCCACUGGCCUUCGUAUAGCUGCUGGUGUGUGGUGUCGCUCCCGCGGGUGCGAGUGGGCUCUGCAACUCAGGCCCAACGAGGGUACCCUUCUUAUUUUGACGCCAACUGUUAUCAUUGAGAGUUUUAAUCGAGUUCCAUCCGUAUUUUAUAGGUUGUCAUAUACGGAGUAGGUAUUUUCAUGGCAUGAUGACAAUAUUUUUUUAAAAAAAAAUAUAUAUUUUUAUGAAGAUGAAACUAUUUUUUCUCGAUUUGCCAACUUUGGGUGAAUAAUGAAAUUAAAAAAUCUCAUAAAACAGUACUAGGAUGAAACUAUGCAUUAAGAAUAGUUAUGUCAUCCCAUAUUUCAUUGCUAUUAUGCUUAACGUGGUAUUUUUAGAAACAGCACUAGAAAACUCUUCACUGGACUCCGCGACCAUGCCACAUUGACUUCAAAACGUCACAGGAUCUGAGUGCUUCCUCGUACAAGAAACCUAAUAUAACGAUUCUCUCAUGACACACUAGUGAUUGGUGAAGCGUCCCUCUCCCCAUCCAGCUCAUCCACUGAGAAUUAAAUAAGCUUCAUUAAGGGCUAAGCUCGGUGAGAGCUCAAGUCCAACAAAUUUCAGAUUGUAGGCCACACUCACACCCCUCCUCAUCCAUCAAUGUCAACAGUGGCGGAUUCAUUCUUUUCCUAAUGCCCACGGCCGGGUGGUGUGGUACGAGACAAGCCAUCACCAAGGGGAUUAGUACAACGAGUAAAAAUUCAAAGGCCUGCACGUGCUGGUUGUUUUUUAAUGUCAGCAUUUUUUUUGAUAAAAAAAAUGUCAGCAAAUUCAGCUUAUCUCCAGAAGCUUUAGGGGCAGUUUAGUAUAUUGUGCCAUAAGGGAAGUGCAUCUCCCUCUAAUCUAUUCUACCUUCGGCCACCGAGGAACACAAUGUAUAGAAUAUAAAACAAUCUUACUUUCUAUUCAUAUGUGUAGGAUAAUCAAACAACCAACACAUUGUGUUGCAUAAGGCACAACAGAGACAAACUGAUCACACCCUAUGUAAAUGGAAAUUUUACAUGGUUUAGGCAUACAAUUAAAAUACUUUAUUAGUAUAAAAUGUUUCGUAUAUAUUGUUGGACCAAAAGAUUUAUGGUAUAAAACUGUGCUCAUUGUUUUUUUAAUUUUGUGGUGUAAAUUUUUUGACAAAAAUACUAAUAAGAGAACAUGCAGGUGGUGGAGAUAAUGCCCGCACACCGGCCCACACACCAUUCGCAGCUCCGCACUCACUCAUCCUUGCCCACAACCCUAUACUUACUCAUCCUCUACCCUUGUCUCUCUCUCUCUGUGUCUGUCUGUCUCUCUCCCUCCCCCUCUCUCUCUUCUUUAAGCGGCGAUGGUAGCAGUGCGACAGAUUUGCGCCGGAAAAGCUCCGGUGGCCCCCGCCCACGUCCCACCGCCUCCUCGCUUCUGUGCCCGCACCCACCGCUUCUCCUGCAAGCGGCCAUGGCAGAUCUGGUGGCUACGACAAUGGAUCUGGCGGCGAUAGCGAAUCCACCAGAUCUAGCGGUGGUAGGGCCAGGUAGGCCUCUUCUUCCUCCUCCUCCUCCUCCUCCUUCUCUCUCCUCCCUCCUCUCUCGUGUUAAAGUUUUGAUGAGCACUCCCUUCUUCUCCAAUCCUGGUGUUGUAUAGUCAUAUAGAAUGGUCGGCCGAGGAGCGGCAGGUAGGCCAGGCGGCGGAAAUAGUCGAUGAGUGGCUUAGCAGAGCUAGCGACGAUAGGGGUGGUCAGGCCAGGUUAGGGUGGAGUAGGCUUGCCGGAGCUAGAGAAGAUGAUGACAGUGGGAAAGGGUGUAGAGAAAAGGGUGGCUGCCAAGGCGCUAGGGUGCAGCCCUAGCUCGCUGGAUCUCCGGUAAAGAAGUUGGUGAACCCUAGAUCUGAUUUUCCCCCUUUUUUGGUAACUAUAGUAUUUUUUUUCUCAGAUUAGAGUGUGCAGCUAGAAAUUACUGUACGCAUGACACAUCCUCUAGUAAAAUCCAUUCUUUGAACUAGUGAUGGGACCUAGGAUACAUCAUCUAGGAGUACACGACGGGGCUUAGGGUAGAGGAGUUUGUUCGCUUGUCUUAUCAGCCGUAUUUUCUUUGCUAGCCAACAAUAUUUUUUUUUACAAUAAAUCAACAAAUAGUAUUUUCAAUCAUAACUUUUUAGAACAGCGCUGCGUGUAUCGCUGCCCCAGUCGGUCAACGCCGGAGCCGAAUGGCAACAAACGGCCGCGCUGCCGUGCCGUGAUGCUGCUGCGAGCAGCGGCAUCCCAGAUUCCCACCGCUUCUUCCAGCCUGUCGUGUCGUCGUCGUUCCCGCAGCCCAAGCAACCCGCCCCCCUUUGCUCCGCUUGGACACUACACAGCCUCUCGGCCCCACCUGUCAUCCAAAGGUAUCGGCAAAAGGCGGCACGAGCAGUCGAGCACCCCUCCUAACCGUCCUUCUCUCACUGACAUGCUUGGACCUACUAUGCUGUUGUCGUCUUGCACACACGAACACGGAGGACACGUGUCAGCUAGUUAUAGGAUGGCGCACGUCAGAGUUUGUGCGACGGUGUCGCAGGGAUUGCAUCUCAGUUACUGACAGGUGGGUCGACAACAUGUACCCCACCUGCCAUGAGACCGCGUGAUCACCAACCACGCGCAUCGCGUGCUCCACCCCCCACCCCACUGCCACACGGGGUCCACAACAUGUGACCCUACACGUCAUGGACGAAGCACGCGGUUGCCCGAGAAGCGUAGAAUUGUAGGGCUCCUGUUUGUGUAGCAAAAAAAAGGGCCUCCCGAAACGAAAGCGCUUCCCCAGGGGGCACGGGCCAGUCGGGCACGAUUUUUUUUCCCCAUUCCCCUCUCGCUUCGCAAUCGCGUGAUCCAUGGCUUCCUCGUCGAUCCACAUCCACCGUCCCCGGCUCGCCGGCGACGAGAUUCACCGGACCCUGGAGGCCUCCUACUCCCCCAGCGCGUCUUACUGCUCCGACGACGCCUUCGUCCCUGUCUUCCGCCCGGAUCCGUCCGCCCCGUCCGCGUCCGCGUCGGCGGCGGUGGCUGCGGCGGCCGACCGCGUCCGCAGCCUCUUCAGCUCCGUCGACGUCGCCCUGUUCCGCGACGCGCUCUUCGCUCCCGUGUGCGACGGCGACGGCGACCGCGACGGCCUCGGGUUCACGGACGCGGACGCGGAGGCGGCAGAGUACGACGGCGAUCUCACCUCCAUCUGCUGGGAUUGCCUCGAGAUCGAGGACGCCGACGACCCGCUCGUCGCCUCCCCCGCCGCCGAGGAUUUCGAGUGGGAGGAGGUCGUGUCCCCCUCGGGCGCCGCCGGGGAAGCCCCGGAGCCCGAGUGGGAGGUGCUCGCCGACGUGCCCCCGCCGCCCGCCACCGCUGCCGACGCCGAGGACGGGUUUGUGUACACCUCCCACCACAGGGAGGAGGCGGCGGCGUACGAGGUGCUCGUGGCAGGCGGGGAGGGGAUGUUCCUCAAGAACAAGCCCCCGGCCGCCAGAUCCGCCGUUGAGGCGCUCCCGUCCGCCGUCGUCGCGGCUGGCCAGGAAGGGGAGGGAGACGAGUGCGCGGUGUGCAAGGAUGGAGUCGCCGCCGGCCAGCGCGUCAAGAGGCUGCCGUGCUCGCACCGCUACCACGACGACUGCAUCGUGCCGUGGCUCCAGGUGCGCAACUCGUGCCCGCUCUGCCGCUUCGAGCUGCCCACCGACGACCCGGAGUACGAGUCCUGGAAAGCCGGCCGAGCCGUGGCCCGGUGAAUCAUCCAACCAGGCGGUGGACGCAUGCCCUUCUGGUAUGGUUUUAUAGAGUUGUAUGUAUGGGUUGGUUUUGAAUCGGAUGCUUUGGUUACAUUAUACAAGGUUGUUACUCAGCUGUAUCAAAGGCAAAGUAUAGUGGUAGAUGCAGAGAUGGUUUUGUGCGACUUGAUCGGUUUUCUUUUCUCCUGAAAGAGGGACUUAUGUUUGUCCAAAUGACAGAGGUUGACAUACACUAGUUGGUACUACAUACAUACUGUUGUAUUUAUUCUAAAAAUUCAGAGAGGUUAGCUGAAUAUCUUGAUGCAAUGGAAUGAUUUACUUGUUCCAUAUUUAGAGAGGAUAGCUGUAUAUCUUGAUGCAAUGGGAUGAUUUGCUGGUUGGAUAUUCUGGGGGUUACAUUAUGAUUGAUUGUUGGUAUUGACUCUCCAAUAUUAUCUUUACUUUAUUAGAAUAUCAUAUUGUACUUUUACAAUCAUGUUUAUAGCGACACAGACAGCAACCAUUGAUGGCUCUGUUUUAGCUGCUGAUUCGUAGUGUUCAGUGAUUCAUAGUAGCACAAAUAUUUCAGAAAAAAGCUUCAAGGGCCCUAUUUUUAGAUAACGAAAAAAAUUCUAGAGGAUGAAGUUGGCGUGACCUGUACUGUAAGGCCAUUAUAACCUGCUCCGUAAUUGAUUGACCUUGACAUUAGGUGGUCUGGUGUAAAGUGUGGAGUGAUUGGACUUUGUUGCAGUAGAUUUUACAAGAGCCUGACAUGGCCUGUAACAACAGUACAACUCCACUGAUUCUUACACAAUAUUUUGUCAUAUGUUCUUACUUCACCUACAAGGGGUAGCCCAUUUUCUUGAUAUGAUCUUGCUGCUGAAUCCAUGUAGAAGUGUGCAUUGUUUGGCGACAACUUGAUCAGGUUCCUGCAAGCACCCACUCAGACAUUGAUGCUACUGCUAAGCAAUAAUCCAAAAAAAACACAACAAUGUUUGUCUUGGUUUUAGACUUUUAGUAUGAUCCAAUGAUCUGUACCCUCUAAUUUUAGAAAAGAAUAAUUCACAAUCAAUAUGCUAUUGAGAAAAAAAAUGCAGUGAGCAAUUUUCCAUUAGUCAUAAUGAAAUAAACCUUCCAUCUGUGAUAUUGCUAGUUUAAUUGACUUUUAGAGAUGUAGUAAGUCCACCUAGUUUUGCAGAAUAAUGUAACUACAUGUUAUCUUAACAGAAUUAUGCGGAAGUUCAUUGAUACUUGGAGGAUUAUGGUUGCUCUGAGCGGCAAUAUGAAUGGUAUAUUAGUAGAUAAGUUAUUAAAAUCUGUUGCAGGGUUUCUCUUUGGCAUAGGAUAGAGUGCAGAUGUUCUGAUUUUGAAUGAAAGCAAUAUUAAUGUUCAUUGCCCUUACCUUGCGGGCUUGUGGCACAAAUUUGGAUUGAAGGGAUCUGUGAUGGUGUGUUGAAGUCUGGGGGGGGGUUAGCAAGGGGCUGGGGCUGGAGUGUGUAGGUGAUUUUGUAUCAAUGUAAGAUUGAGAUUUUCAUUUUAACAUAAGGGCUUUCUCCAACAUUACCACCCUUUUGAAGGUAAUCCAAAAUUUACGUAUUUCAUUUCUCUGUUUUUGGAUUAUUUUGGAUCGACUCAGUUUUGUGCAUUUCGAAUACUUGAUGAUUUGGACUUGGUUUAGUUGAGAUUGAUUUUUAAUUUUUCACGGCAGAAUCAAAGGUCUUUAUGUUGGUGAGAUAGUACACUAAAUGCAAAGUUGGUUUUGGAGAUCAGGAUAAAUUAAGCAUUGGUCAUCUUUUAAUCCGAUUUGGUGGCUUACUUUUAUAUGCUGAUGUGUUCUCUUUACGACUGUUCCAAUAUCAAAUACCCUUGUUAUUUUGUAUAAUGUUCCAAGUUUAUCUGGCUGGCCUGACUUGAUAUCAGCACUGAAUUUAUGGCUACUUCUAUUGUGUGAUACUUGUGGAAUAUGGUUCAUUGAACUUCCACCAUGAUGUGACCGAAUAACCAAAUCAGACGAAGCAGAUCUGCUAGAUUGAAAACUAGUGCAAGAUCUUCACUGGGGUUCAACGUUGAAUGAUGCCCACCCUAUUUUGUAUCUUCUUGCUCAUGCAACUCAGUAAUGCAACUUUGCAACUAGUCUACUUGCUCAGCCCAACAAGGCUGAACGUGAACAGGUUGUCAUGGCACCUGGCCCAUGGCAAACGACAAUUUUCAACUAGAAAAAAAGUACUUUAGGACCCUCAACUUUCACGAAAGUCUGUUUUUCAUCCUUAAACUUCAAAAUCGGGUAAAACUCUCAAUUUUUGAAACCAUGCAUAUUACGUCCCUGACAUGGUUAUGAGCGGUUUUGAAAUCAGUUGUGUCUUUUUUUAUUUUUAUUUAUAUUUAUUUUGACUGAAUAUUGUAAAAUUAUAGUAAAUCAUAUAAAAUUAAUAAAAUAGUAAAUUUGAUUUUGUUGGACUCCAGAUAAGUAGAUCUACACAGUGAACAUAUAAUAUGGUAUGUUUUAGUACGAAGUUUUUGUUGUAGCUUUUGAUUUGUGUUUUUCUAUAAUUAAUUAAAAUAAUUCAUAGCUAUAGGUUGUAUGGUCCAAUUGUGAUGAAUUUUUUUUAUGUAGGGCUAGUUAUUAUAUGUUUAAACUUUUUUGGGAAACUAUUAUAUGUUUAAACUGUGGUAAAGAUUUCAUAUUCAUUAGAUCAUGUAUAACUUAAUUAUAGAUUUAUUAAAAUUUAACAAGCAUAAACCUAAAUAAAUCUAUAACUAAGUAAUGCAUAAUCUAAUGAGUAUGAAAUUUUUACUACAACUCAAGCAUAGAAUAAUUAGCCCAUCAUAUAAUUUUCAUCACAAUUGGGCCAUAGAAACUGUAGCUAUAAUUAGUCUAAUUAAUUACAGAAAAGCAUAGAUCUAAACUACAUCAAAAAAUUUGUACUAAAAAAUACUAUAUUAUAUAUUUAAUAUGUAGACUUACUCAUUUGAAGUCCAACAAAAUUAAGUUUUCUAUUUUAUGAUUUUUAUGUGAUUUACUGUGAUUUUUUAAAAAAUUUAGCCGAAAUAAAUAAAAAAAAGACAAAACCGCUUUCAAAACCGGUCAGGGAUGUAAUGCGUACGGUUUUAAAAGUUUAAGGACCCAUGAUGAUUCAACAGAAAUCUCGAUCAGCAAGUCAAGAUUCAUUACUCAUUUUUUUUGAAAGUCAUUGGGUGUGUUUGUUUUUUUGGCCAACUUCUAGCAUGGCUAGAAUCUUAGCCUGCUUUCAUCAAACAAACUCCUGGUUGUUUGGUUCUCUGUCUUAUGUUAGCCUAGCUAAUCUUAGGGUGUAUUUGGUUACCUGGUUUAUUUUGAUAUACUUAUCUCUUCUCUGAACCAGUAAAAUUACCCAUUGAGACAUUUUGUCGAACAAGUGGUGGGGGUGCCUGCACAUGCUUUGAGGCUACGGCCACGACGCCGCCCAAGUCCUCUUCAGCCCGCUCUUGCUCUAGGGCUACACCAUGGCCAUCGGCUUGUCUAGGCCCACGGCCACCACCACUACCCGACAGCCACGGAGACGACGCAUGACACCAGAGAUACGAUUUAGAGAGCCACAGAGACGAUCACAAAGAGCCAUGAUUCAAAGAGCCAUGGACACGAUUCAAAGAUCCACGGACACCUGGCAGCCACGGAGACGAUGCUUCGGGACGUGAUUCGAUGGAUGGAAGAGGAGCCUUGGGAGGAAGAUCUGUGUAGCUAACUAGCGGCGAGCCGAGCUUCGAGCAGCGUUGAGUCGACGUCCCGUACUCCAUGGAUUGAUUGAAGCAGCAACAGGCGAGCAAUUGAGUGGAAGUCAACGAGCAGGGCCAUUGCUCGUACGGGUCCUCGGCAGCGAGUGCGUCCUUGCCCUUAGGCCUCGUUGUGUAGGGCUGCGCAGAGAACAAACCCGAGGAAAGACAGCACGAAGAACAACAACAAUGGUCACCGUGGUCCGGGUGGCCAUGGUGAUGGCACGUCGCCGGCAGAAAGGAGAUGUCAAGCUUCUGGGAUCCGCGGAGGCGAAGAGGAAGAGGCACGCGACCACCAUGAUCAAGGGCGUGGAGAGCAGCCUCGCCACACCCAUGGUGAUAUUGCGUAGCAUCGCGUACGCCAUGGAGUUAUUGGGAUGGAGUGCGACCUGCGCGGGGAGGGGAGGUGAACAGCAGGGAGGGAGGUGUUGCGAAACACACGAAGAGCUGGACAGAAAAAUAACGGUUGAAUUGGGCGUUCAACCUGGGCCCAGCUUCAAUUGUACAAUUCAACCAAAGGCAGAGCUGACCAUCCAACCAAACACAACAUGUAUAUUUGGACCUUGUACAUUGUUGGCGUAUGUAUUUUACUACUUGUACAUAUGUGGACCUUGUACAUUUGGUUCUCAUACAGACAUAUAUUGACAGGCUAUUUGGUUCUCAACAGUAACAUCGUACUUAGUGUGUGUUUGGUUGGGAUCGCUAAAGUUUAAUAUGUACUGUAGUAUUUUCGUCUUAUUUGAAAAUUAUUGUCCAAUUAUAGAUUAAUUAGACUUAAAAGAUUCGUCUCGCAAAUUACUCUCUGACUAUGCUUUUAGUUUCAUAAAUAGUUUAUAUUUAGUACUUUAUGUCUUUGAUAUAACUGGCAAGUUUACCGAAUGACAAACACCCACUGUGAUGAUUGGCGGCACGGCAUUCGUAUUUUUCACGUGAUGGACCGUACGGCGGCGUCUCGGGGGUGAAUGGAUAUGGAUGAGCUACCUGGAUGGGCCUGCCUCAUCCAUCCGUCUCCGCCCGCAGGAAACGUACGGCGGCAGUCGCAGUGGCCGGUCUCCUCCGAUCCGCCUAUACUGGGACGACACGAUCGAGGCCUGCUUCCGAUCCGGCGGCUCCUGGCCUGGGAGAAGUGGCGGCCGUGCUCGCGAUCGUCACGCGGCAACACGCAAAAGCAUCAACGACGACGUACGACAGCCAGCCCCGGAUCGGAUCAGGCCAGCCGGGGAUGCAUAUAUAUAUAUAUAUAUAUAUAUAUAUAUAUAUAUAUAUAUAUAUAUAUAUAUAUAUAUAUAUAUAUAUAUAAAUAAUAGGUACGUCAUGGUCAUGGAUUUGACGCUAGCUACCAGCUGGUGCGCCAUGCAUGUAAUUGGAAUGGAAUAGGCUUUGUUUAGAUGUCUUUAAAAUUCCAAAAGUUUACAGAAUUUUUUGUCACAUCGAAUUUUUAUAUGUAUAUAUAAAUCAUUAAAUAUAGAUAAAAAAUAUAAGUUUGUUUUUUUAAAUCACGAGACAAAUCUUUUGAAUAUAUGAUUAGAUACUAAUUGCUAAAUACAAACGAAAGUGAUGUAGUAGUCAAAUUCUAAAAAAAAAAUUUAGAUCUUAACAAUGCUGCGUGCGUGCGCGAGCAACCUGUACCUGUAGAUCGAUCAACAUGCGGCGUUAGUUAUGCGUCGCAUUGGUGUCAAACUCAAAUUCAAAGUGGAUUGGCGUCACCACGCAUGCACACGGUACGGUGACCUGCUGGUGCUGGUGGGCACAAUACAACACACAAGACACAGAAAGAAUAUACAGCACUUGCUCCCCACCUGCUGUCGUCCUUUGCCUAAUUAAGCCGUGUCACCACCGAACAAAGAUUUGACAUUAAAAAAAGAGAGAGAGAGAAAACAGUCAAAAAAAAAGUACCAAAUAAAGCCAUGCAUGCAUGGGUCUAGUGAUCUGAGAAACGUUCUAUCUGAUUCCUUCUGCUUACCACUAAUAACAAUGUACGUAACAACAGCUAGGUAGCUAGCUAGCUUUAAACAGACACGAGCUAGCACACAAAUAAGUAUAUGCAUGCAUGUACGUGGUUUAAUUAUUAGGCCAUCUCUAUAUGGAUAUCACGUUAAAAAGACAGAAUCCGAGUCAAAAACCAUAUAUUUGGACCAGUGGGGAAGAUGAGAGCUAAAUAAUUAAACUUUUUAUUAUAUAUAUACUUUCCAAUGCACGAGAAAUAUAAAUACCCCUCCACCGAUCUCUGUAUUUUUUUGUGCGAGACCCGGUUACAGACACAGACGCUCACAAAUAAGAGCGCACACUUACUCCUAUAAACGUACACAUGCACACCCUACUCCUACGACUCUAUUUGAAAAACCGAGUUGGAUUGGUAAAUCUCGAGAAUGACGAAGUUACCACAUGCCGCCUCGCUGUCGAGGGGCAGGUCGCCUACCAACACUAUUAAAUUCUAAAGUAAAUCCAGAAAAAUACGAGCACUCAUGUCAAAUCGGGGACUUAAACCCGCGUAGACAGAAGUUCCACCAUAAAAAACACAACCAACUGAUCUACGAUCAGUUCGCGAUCUCUUUAUUGACAGGAGAGAAUGUAUAAGCUAGCAAAGAACAUCUUACAUGUGAAAAUAAUAUGUAGAAUAAGAGAUGACAUCUAAGAGUCAAGUACUUGAUUCUUGCUACUGGAAUUGCCAUUGUAUCUGCUUUAGCGUGGCGGAUCGGAUCGGAUGAGAGCGUGAGUGCAUACAGUAAUCCAAUAAUAUAGGACGGGACAGAGCGAGAGUACGCGUAUAGGCUUGUUGAGUUCUAAAAUUUUAGAAAACGAUACUGUAGCACUUUCGUUUUUAUUUAAAAAACAUUGUUCAAUCGUGGAGUAACUAGCCUUAAAAGAUUCGUCUCACGAUUUACAGACAAACUAUAUAAUUAGUUUUUAUUUCUAUCUAUAUUUAAUGUUUCAUAUGCAUGUGCCGCAAGAUUCGAUGUAAUAGGAAAUUUUGAAAAGUUUUUGGUUUUUUAGGUAAACUAGACAAGGCCUAAUAUAAAACAGAGGACGAGAGCUAGUGUCAUCAUAGUCAUGCAUGUAUAGCUCAUACAUACAGCUAGGUAGGAGAAGGGAGAGGGACGGACGGGGAGUCUUAUCCAGAGCUAGCUGUCUGGACCCAUGCAAUGCAAUCUGUCUGUUCUCCCGGCACCAAGCUAGCAGGCAAAGGCAAAGCCGGCCUGCGUCCGCCACCCAAUCGGCAGCCUAAACUGCCAAUAAUAAUUUAUUUAACGUAGGACUUGCAAAGGCGACGCCGGCCGGCCUUCACUCGCACAGACGGCGAUGUAGAGAAACCAUGCAAAGUGGGCUUGUCCUUCCAUUCCUCGGCCCCGUCCCGUCGUCCGCGCACAGUUGAGCUACAGUAGUCAGUAGGUGAGGUGAGGUGAAUGCAUGUAUGAAUUAAAAAAAAAGAAAAUGGCAAUUUCGUCAUCAUUAAAAAUGGACUUCGCUACUUUACCAUUCCGCAAAUUGAAUUCGCUACUUUGCUAUUAUAAAACGUGGUUAUCACGCUCUUUUAGCCUAUUACAUAGUUUCUAUUCCCGAAUUACUCUUGCCUCUUCAAUCUAAAAUUCCUGUCGCCCUUCCCAGACCCAUCCGCCACCACGCACCCUCCACCAUCCACGGCGACGGCAGCCUCUUGACCCCGACGACGCGCCUUCCCCCAUCCAUGGUGGCAAAGGCCUCCUCACCCUGGCACGCCUCCUCCACCCUCGACGUGACCUCCUCACCUCGGGGCACCCUCCCUCUACCUCGGACGGCGCGCCCUCCUCACCCUGGCACAACCUCUUCCACCCCGGUGUGCCUCCUCCACAUCGGUGGCGCUCCUCCUCCAUAGAACACGAGGCAGAUCCGGCAUUGUGGUGGUGUCUCCUCUCCCCUCCACGCCGUGCAUGCUCCCCCAAGUCCAACAGCUCUCCACCCCGGGCAGCACGGCUUCCUCCCGACCUCCCCUACCUCCGGCACGUCUUCCUGCCUCAUCCCUCUCUGCUGGAGCUCGAGCAAGCAGCAAGGGAACAUCGAGGCCGUGUCCUCCACGCAUUCUCGCAUCCUUGCGGCGGCAGCACGAGGCAGACCCUCGUGGCGUGCGCUCUUGCACCCUUGUGCGGUGUGCGCACCUCCACACCCCACGCAGCGCGCGUUCCUCUCCCGCCAAUCCGGUGGCGCGCGGCUCCUUGCCGGCUGCCCCAGCCAUGGUCGAGGAUACGAGGUUCAUAGGGGCAGAGGUAAUUUGGGGAUACAAAUUGGGUAGCGGACUAAAAUGGUAUUCUAGCGUGAUGACCGCGUUUCAUAAUGACAAAGUAGCGAAUCCCAUUUGCAGGAUAUAUAGUAAAGUAACGAAGCUCAGUUUUGAGGAUGGCGAAAUUGCUAUUUUCUUGAAUAAAAAGGCUAGUGCAACCAACAACGCAGAUCGAGACACCGCGAGCGAGGUGCUAGCUGCCGAUUAGUGACUAAUUGGUUCCAUUAUGCCAAAGGACUCUAGCUCAAUAGGUUAGAGCUUUUUAACGGUAUCCUCCUAAUCCUUGCUUAAUGAAAAAAUGGGUGGGGCCAUCAUUCCCCGUAAUUGGUUGCAUUAUUGACCGUGGAAGAGAAAAGGCUGUGUUGAAUCUUUUUUAUUCGUUUGAGUUUAUCUACCAAAUCUAUCAACUAUUCAGCAGUAUUUUUCUCUCCUAAUAAAUUAAGGUAGCUUUUCAUAUUGCGUUCGUGCGUGCGUUCCGAAAUGCUCAAGGAGACAGACAGCAAUACGCGGCUAGUCUGACCCAUGCAUGUAUACAGACUCAGCAUAUAUAGCGCAGGAAAAGGUCGAUCUAUAUCAUCGUCCAUGCAUGCAUGCAACGCAACGCACACAGGUAAGUCAGCAUGCAUUUCAUUCGUGCGCACCGCGCCGGUGUCGGCCUACCGUUGCUCAUCUCUCAUCUCAUCCGAUUCUGAUCCGUUCCGUUCACCGGGUGGUACACAUAUGCAUUUCCGGAUGACGGGACGACGGCACAUGCAUUUGGUGAGGCACUACAGCUUCUUCAAUAGUACCAUAAAGCUGUUUGGAGCUGUUUUAUAUCACAUCGAUAUAUAUUUUUUAAAUAAACAGUUUUACAUAUCAAUUUUUUUAAAAAACCUGCUCUCACGGAGAAUUAUAUUGUUGUAUGAUAAAGCUGGAAAAUACACUAGUAGGGAACAAACUUUCGGUUCUAGGCUUUAGUCACAACCAUUUUUGGACUUGGGACUUAACAAAAGGAUUAGUUCCGGUUGGAGCUACUAAUCGAGACUAAAGUUUGUUCUUCAACAGUUAGAGUAUUCAUAUUGCACGCAUAUACAACCUCUUCAAAUAUUUGUAUAUAUGUAGUUCAUAUAUUUUAGUGUGUUAUUUAUGUAUAAUGAUCGAAUAGAACCUUAUGUGUAUGUACAUUAGCAGUGUAGUAUUCGUAUCCAAAUAGCUAAUUGAAAUAAAAAAGAAUUGAAUUGAAAAGAAAUCAUAAAAAGAAAAGGAAAGAAAUAAAAAAGAAACUCCUUAGUACCGGUUGGUGUUGGAACUAAAUAUGGCAAUUUCGGAGCAAGGGUCUGGGAGCCCAUUUAGUCCCGAUUGGUAUAGAAACCGAAACUAAAGGUUCACUUUCAAUUCCGGUUCCCAUAACCGGGCUAAAGACGGGGAGGGGGGGGCUUUGAUCCCGAAUUGGCAAUCCUGAUUGGAAAACCAGAACUAAAAAGGGUUUCCCAACCAAAGACUGAUGCUCAGUCCUGCUGUGCACUAGUGAUACAAGUUUCUCUCAUCUUUCAGCUGCACCAGUGAGCCACCCCUAGCAUGGACAAACGUCGAAUUUGCUUCGGGAGCAGGAAAGGACAGGCUCAGCCGCUGAAAAACGCAUAAGUGCAUCCUCAAUGGCUCUCGACUUCGAUAGUUGAGUACGCCCUAUGUAAAAAAGAGAGAUUAACUAAAAUCAUCGCGGUAGUGAGUCUUCAAUAGCCUAUCUUGCAUGAGUCUCAAAAUAUUUUGUGUCUAAUAUACUUCCUCUGUCUCUAAAUAUCUGUCACUGUUGGUGCGCGCGCCACAAGUUUAACUCUAUUUAUAAAAAAUACAUGUAAUAUUUGUAUAUCUAAAUAAAUUUAUUAAAAAUCUAGAAUUAAAGAUCUUUCUAAUUUGGUAUUAAUUCUUUACCAUAAAUAUUAAUAAUUUUUAAAUAUAUAUUUUGUCAAAGUUGUUUCUUGAAAAACACAAAUAUUUAAAGAUAGAGAGAGUAUGCAUCAUACUCUGACCACUCAGUCUACCGCUUUAUCUUUUAAAAAAAAUAAUUUUAAGCCUCCACGUUAGCCAGCUAGCUAUUUGUGCACGCCGUUGAGGAUACUCCGAGCCACCAAGGCAUGCAGCCAGCCACGAUUGCGUC
Molecule: long non-coding RNA, 55107 nt
Filed under: Sorghum bicolor (sorghum)
Lineage: Eukaryota; Viridiplantae; Streptophyta; Magnoliopsida; Poales; Poaceae
Description: long non-coding RNA (SBIC_LNC013423)
Source: RNAcentral